UAUAUGAUUGUAAGAGACUAGAGGCCUUACCCAAGGGAUUGCACAAUCUGAGCACUCUUCAAUACUUAACAAUAGGAAGAGGAGGUGAGCUUCCAAGCCUUGAAGAAGAUGAUGGCCUUCCCACCAACCUUCAUUCACUUCAUAUUUGGGGUAAUAUGGAGAUUUGGAAGUCAAUGAUUGAGCGGGGCCGGGGAUUUCACAGAUUCUCCUCUCUGCGAGAACUUAGAAUCGAAGGAUGUGAUGACAACAUGGUGUCAUUUCCACCAAAGGACAAAAGAUUAGGGACCGCGCUUCCUCUUCCUGCCUCUCUAACGUCUCUGCAGAUUAUGGGUUUUCCAAAUCUGGAACGCCUAUCUUCUUCAAUUGUUGAUCUUCAAAACCUCACUAAGUUGUAUUUGCGGAGUUGUCCUAAGCUCAAAUACUUUCCGGAGAAGGGCCUGCCUUCCUCACUUUUGCAAUUGUGGAUCUGGGGAUGUCCGUUGAUAGCAGAGAAGUGCAGAAAGGAUGGAGGACAAUAUUGGGACUUGUUAACCCAUAUACCUUGUGUUGUCAUAGAUGGUAAAUCCGCUUUUGGCGAUAACACAUAGGACGGUUGAAAUAUUUUAUUGUUAGUAUUUUUAAAAAAAAAAAAUUGGGCGUGUAUUAUGAGUUGGUGAUUAAUGGGUUUUCGAAAUAAAAAGAACAAUGGGCUCGCAUUAUUUAGCUAGCAAAGGAGGAGGACUCUAUUAAUUAAUUAAUUAAUUAAUUUCUUAUGCCUAUUUCAUUCUCAGCUGUUGAAACUUCAGUUUCUUAUAUUUGUCUUUUCCGCGGUUCGGUUACAUAUAUUUGUCCUUUACAUAAUUUCUUAUGUAAAAUAUUUUAUUAUUAGAAUUUUUUUUUCUUUUAAAUCAAGCGUGUUUGUGUAUGUAAUUUUAAAAUUCAAAUUUGGCUGUUGAAAUAAACUUCAGUUUCUUUUAUUUGGCUGUACGGUUACGUAUGUGUAAUAUUUCUCUUCAUCGGACUUCGGCAAAAAUUGUUAAUGUUCUUAUUAGUAAUUAAUUAGUACGUUAGUGUUCUUCUUUUGUUCCAUAAUUUAUCAAAAUCAUUUUAUUACAUAAUCUUCGUACAUGUACAUCGUCAUCAAAUUCUAUAACAACAAAAACAGAAAAUCAAAAGAAAACAAGAACAUGCCACACAAAUCAAAAACGAAAAGAACAUUAUAACACCAAGUAUUAUAUUUCUCUAAUUACAUUUCGGCUUUGGUGGCCUUAACUUAAAAUCUCCUCUAGAACAAUCUGCCUCAUUAGCAAUAAUGUUAUAAUGUUCUUUUGAUGUUGUUUUUAUCAGUUACUGAAUAUUUGAAUUCAUCAAAACUGUUAUAAUUGAAACGGAUCUUCAUAUUAAUACAUCAACAUGACAGAAAAGGGAAUAUUUUUAAUGAAUUAAUUUCUUAUUGAGUAUGAAUGCGUAAUGUAUAAUGGCUACCUCUUUCUUAGUUGUUCAAAUUAAAUUCAUUUUGCUGUACGGUUAUGUAUAACGAGAUUGAAAUUGUUUCUUCACCAGAAGUAAUGUUAUAAUGUUCUUUUAAUGGUUUAGUAAAGUGGUUUUUGAUUGCCGAUUAAGCACUUGAAGGCUGGACUGCUGCAGUACAGAAUUAUUUAUACUCUCUAAUCUGAUACACUUUAAGCAAGUUCUUGAAUUAAUUGCUUCUGUGCCAUCGCUUUUAUUAUUUGCAAAUAUUGAUCAUCAUCAGCUCCUUUUGGGAUGUUAGAGAGCUUUGUUCAGAGAGAAAGACCAUAAAAACAGAUUACAUAACUUGUCAUAUAAAAAUACUAUGUUCGCAUAUUACUCACAGUUAGCCAAGGCGCCGUCUGGUCAUAAUUGACAUAAGAGCUCAACCGUAAGUAACACAAUACACAAUCUGAAGAAUAGUUGCUUGAUCAGGAAGUCCAACUUUGUAGCUAUAAUAUGCUAUUUUCAUAAGACUUCGUUAAAGAUUGUUUUGUAAUUAAUUUCACACAACACAACCCUACAGAAAAUUGACCAAAACAAAAUGAAAUAUCAAGGCUGUAAUUAGCACUUGAUCAAAGGAAAAGAAGAAACAAAUGAAUUUGUAAGGAGUACUGCGAUACCCAUAUGAAUUUGUUUAAAGUUCUUUAUCAUAGAAAAAAUCAAUUGUAUGUCCUUCGUAUUUUCUCUAUAAAAACUUGCAUUAUAGACUGUAUGUUUGUUUUGAGAUUUACUGGAGUGAAUUGUUGUUUUUGUGAUUAUCAAAUAAUAUACUUCAGAGUUAUUUAUUUUUGUGUACAUAUAAAAUUGAAUUUAUUUUAAUGUGCACAAGAGUCAUUGGAAGGAUUUGCAUUAGGUAGAAUUUCACACGAAGAACAAGACUAAGAAAAUUUAAGGUGAUUUGCAUUUAUAAUCAGCAAACGACUCAACAUAUCAGAAUGAGAAGAACAUUGUUAUGCCGCCGGUGAACACACCAAACAGCAAGGUUUCCACACUUUUCAAGCAAGUGCAAGCUCCCAGAAUUUUAAAGAAACGAGUGAAUGGCAAGAGAGAAUAGAGAGGAAAAUUCAGAGAAGAAGAAGAAACUAAGUCCAGAACUUUUAUAUAUCCCCUCAAAUACAACCAUGGAAAUACUUAUAGCAGCAAGAAUAUGCUCACAGCUGUCAAAACUAAAUAACAACCUCUCUCUAUAACAAAAAUUAUUCUCUAAAUAGCUAAGGCCGUUAGAAACCGAGUCCUCUGCUCAUUUAUGCUCAGUGUGUGUAAUCCUUGAACCAUUUGGGAGGCUUCCUUACGCGACUUGGCUUGAUGUUAUCUUGGGGUCGGUUUUGGAUAGCCUCACUUGAGUUUGCCUGGGCCUUUUCCUCGCUAUUGAUAGAGCUAGCUGAGUUGGGCUUGUCUAACUGUAAUAUUGGGGUUGUAUCAAACAUUCAGGAAUCACCAGGCAGGACAAGAUCAAGGAGGCAACAAGGAAGCAUUUGUUUUGGCCAAAUAAAGUUUGCAGAUCUUUUAAUGCUAAGAUUAGUAAUCAAACCAUUAUUGGGAUAUUGGUUUGGCGAUGUUGAAUUAAUGGCCCUGAGCUUUAUGAUCUUUAUUACAUAUGUAUUUAUUGCAAUUACACAUAUAUGUAAUAUGUACCUUGUUGGCUUAUUUAUUUAUAUUAAUAAUUAAUAUGAUCUUUUAAAACUUAGCCAAAGUUGUUGAACAUAAAAACACUCAAGUAUUCAGUGUUCUUGAUUAAAUUAUCAUCAAUAGACAUAAUUAAAAAAAGAAAAUCCGAUUAUUACAAUGAUUGGAUUAGUUGGCUACAUUAGUGUUAUUGUCUAAUUAUCAAGGAUAACAUUCAAUUAUAUAUAACAUGUCCUUCACAUUUUCUCUUUUAAUUAAAAUUGUAACAAGACUUGCAAUUUAGACCAUGUAUUCGUUAUGUUGUUUAUUGGAGUGAAUUGAUGUUUUUGUUGUGCUUGUCAGGGAUUGUCUUUGUAAGUUAUUUAUUUUGUAUAUAUGAAAUCAAUGGGGGUUUCACUCUUAUGGAUGGAUGUUGUCGGGUACCAAGAAGUAAGAACUGAUAGUCGUGUUAAUUAAUUAGUAUAAAUUAGCUGAAUGUUCAAUGUUCAUGCUCUUUUGAGCUAGAUAUGGCAAUGAAAAUUGAGUUUCUGUGAUGUAAAAUAUGAAGCUAUUCAAUCAAGCAACUCUGCUUUUCAAUUUUCUUACAUCUAAGUCAAGUAGCACUUAUUUAUAAAUCCUCGAGAGCACAAACCUAAUCCAGGUUCAUACUUAUUAAAUUUGACAACAGACAAUGAAGUGUAAAAAGUGAAAUUCUUAUCUAUGAUAAGCACCUAAAUAAUUGCAUUGAGUUUUUCCAUUUUCAAAUUUUCAUUGCUAAUUCAACAAUUGAGAGACUCAAACAUAUGGAAUAAGAAAUUAACAUAUUCAACCCAAAAGGUUAUUCAACUUAGAUGAUUCAAUAUAACACUUAAUAAGCUUAUGAGUCUCAUUUAAGGAAUAUUAUAAUUUUACUUGGAUUGCUAGAAAUCACGGAAUGUUAUUCAUUUAAGUAUGUGAUACACUUGUUUGAUGAAUUGCUUAUAUGAGUAGAUUAUAUUUUUAUUUUGGUCAUAUUUCUUAUUUUUCUAAUCCCAUCUGUGAUCUGUCCCCUAUUUCCCAUCCCACAUCAAAUGGUGAUAUAGCUUCCCUAUCAUAUGUCGAACCCAUUAAAGCCAAAAGUAAGAAGUUAAAGAACUAUUUUGUACUGGCUAUACAAAGAACUAUAUUACAGUACUACACACCCACCCAAAAAAAUUAAAAAAAUAAAAUGAAGGCACCAUUCAUACUUCCAAAUCCAGCACUAGCACUUGAAAACAAUAGAAACAAAGGAAUUUGCCAAUAAAAAAAGUCAGCUGGAGAAAGCCAAUAACAAACCCAACGACAAUUGAACCAAUAUAAAUUUAAGAGUAAUGAUAUAUUGAUUUUCUGCAGUUUACCUUUUUUUUCAUUAUGUUAAAGUUCCAUUAUUUUUAUUGCUAUUCUCUAUGUUUACCAUUCCGCAUAAAUAUAUAUCCCCAAUAUAUUAGUUAUCACUUCUUAGAAAUUUUUGUAAUUAAUAUCAAUAUUCAAUCAUUUAGAAAAACCUGAUUAUUAAUGAUUAGUUUAUCUCUGAAUUAAAACUAGACACAUGUAAAUAUGUGAACUCGAAUUAAAUGUUGAUAUACUUGUAAUAUAUAUGAGUCGUAUCUAAAAAAGCAAGUUCUAAUUUCUACUUCCAUCUUUUAAAUGCCAGGUCGAUGCACAUUAUCUAUGCAUGCAUGUACUGAAUAGGGAAGUAACACAUAAAGAUGGAUUCUUUUUGCUGGACACUGAUUUUUAUUUGUCAUUUUUUCCAAUUGUUCAAUGAUGCUUGCUCCACCCAUGUCCAGUUAGUCAAGCAGACAAGCACAAGCGCGUGAAGCUUGCUAAAUUAUUGAUGCAUAAAGUGGAAGCAAAAGCCAGAGGCAGCCCCCACCGCCACCGAUAAUUUUUUGUUUAAUGUUAUUUCGUGUAUAUCAUUUAUAACAUAUUAAUCGACUUAUUAUUUUAUUAAGUAUAUAUAUAUAUAUAAUAAAUGAGUCGAAUUUAUGUUCAGCUAAAAUUUUGUUAUAUUUCACACGACAGUAAAUAGUUGUCAAAAAAUUAUGGUGUCCUUUUAAGUCUUUGUCUUAGCAUUGAAAUUAAUUCAAUAAAUGAAGUAAUUAUAUGGCAAAAGGAGAGAGAGACAGAAACGUUGUGAUUUAACUUGGUUUAUAAGUUUGAAGAUUUGUAAAGCGAAGGUUCGUAGUAGAUGCAUUCCAUUUUCUUCUUUAUUCAGCAUUUACCCGGACGCUGGAUUAAUGUUGUUGACCCUACAAAUAUCAAAGUCCGAUUUUAUAUUUAUUUAUUUAUUUUUUUAUAUACGAUUUUAUAUUUAUUGAUUCUAGUAACUAGUGGUGGUCACUGGGGAUUGGUGACUUGCUAAACUAUUAAUGGGAGGUGGGCUCUCCUUUUGUUUUCACUUUCCUGGAAUAAACAAGUGGAAGACUUGUUACAUGCACUUUGCUUGACUCUCCAUGCUUACUGUUUUAUUUUCUGAUUUUGUUUCCCAAAACUCAAAGUUCUGUUUCUUUCUUUGCGCCAAAAAGAAAAAAAAAAUGUCAAUCAUCGGAGAGGCAAUCCUUACGGCGUCCGUUGAUUUGCUGGUCAAUAAGUUAGCUUCAGAGGGGAUUCGGUUGUUUGCACGCCAAGAGCAAAUCCAGGCCGACCUAAAGAAGUGGAAGAAUAUGUUGGUGAUGAUCAAGGCGGUGCUUGCUGAUGCUGAGGAGAAGAGGACGACUGAUGCACCACUUUUACUCCACAAUCGAUCCAGUUGUUGCACCACUUUUACUCCACAAUCGAUCCAGUUCGAUUAUGCCUUGAUGUCCAAAAUAGAAGAGAUCAACGGCAGAUUUCAAGAUAUUGAAACACAGAAAGACUCGCUGGGUUUGAACGUAAGUUCAGCUGGGAGGUCCAAAAAAGACAGGCAAAGACUACCCACAACCUCUUUGGUGAAUGAAGCCAAGGUAUAUGGCAGGGAAACAGAAAAGAAGGAAAUUGUUGAAUUGUUGUUGAGGGAUGAUUUAAGAAAUGAUGGUGAAUUCUCUGUUAUUCCUAUCAUAGGUAUGGGCGGGCUGGGCAAAACCACUCUUGCUCAGCUUGUCUAUAAUGAAGAUCGAGUGCAGGGUCAUUUUGAUCUCAAGGCAUGGACUUGCGUCUCUGAUGAUUUUGAUGUUAUCAGGCUUACAAAAUCAAUCCUACUUUCAAUUGCUAGUGACCAGAAUGUGGAUAAUGACGACUUGAAUAAGCUUCAAGAGAAAUUGAAGAAACAACUAUUUGGAAAGAAAUUUUUGCUUGUUUUAGAUGACGUUUGGAAUGAGAAUUACAAUGAUUGGGUUGACAUAUGCCGUCCGUUUGAAGCUGGCGCACCGGGAAGUAAGAUUAUUGUCACAACCCGUAAUCAAGAGGUUGCAGCCAUCAUGGGGACUGCUCCAGCUUAUCAAUUGGAAAAGUUGUCAUUUGAUGAUUGUUUGUCCGUGUUCGCUCAACACUCUUUGGGGACAACAGAUUUCAGUUCAAAUAAGGCAUUGGAGGAAAUUGGCAAGAAGAUAGUGAUCAAAUGCAACGGCUUGCCCUUGGCUGCGAAAACUCUUGGUGGACUCUUACGUGGUAAAUGUGACCGAAGUGAUUGGGAAGAUGUGCUCAGUUGCAAGAUAUGGAAUUUACCAGAGGAGAGAUGUGACAUUAUACCGGCGCUUAGAGUGAGCUACUAUUAUCUUUCGGCACCUUUGAAACAGUGCUUUGCAUACUGCUCAUUGUUUCCAAAGGAUUAUGAAUUUGAAGAGGAGGAGAUAAUUUUGUUAUGGUGUGCUUCGGGUUUCUUGGAUCACGGAGAGGGAGGGAAUCCUAGUGAAGAUCUAGGUAGAAAGUUCUUUCAAGAGCUACGUUCAAGAUCUUUUUUCCAGCAAUCAAGCAACGAUGCAUCACGAUUUGUGAUGCACGAUCUUAUCAACGACCUUGCCCAUUGGGCUGCGGGGGAGAUAUACUUCACAAUGGAGUAUACCUCGGAGGUUAACAAGCAACAGAGUUUUUCCAAUAAUCUUCGUCAUCUAUCGUACAUUCGUGGAGAAUAUGAUGGCGUUAAACGGUUUGAGGGCUUGUACGAUAUCCAACAUUUGCGAACUUUUUUACCAGUAAAGCUGUCAAAUAGUUUGGAUGGAUACUUGGCUCAUAGCAUUCUUCCUAAGUUGUUCAAACUCCAACGCUUGAGGGUCUUCUCCUUGUUUGGAUACCGCAUCUCUGAGCUACCAAAUUCAGUAGGUGAUUUGAGGUAUUUAAAGUACCUUAACCUAUCUGGAACUGAAAUUAGAACUCUGCCUGAAUCAGUGAACAAGCUUUACAAUUUGCACACACUUUUGUUGGAGGGCUGUCGGGAACUGAAGAAGUUGUGUGCAGAAAUGGGAAGCCUCAUCAAAUUGCAUCAUCUUAAAAAUUCAAAUACAGAUUCCUUGGAGGAAAUGCCACUAGGAAUUGGUAAUUUGACUUGUCUUCAGACGUUGUGUAAUUUUGUUGUGGCAAAAGACAGUGGUUCCGGGUUAAGAGAGCUGAAGUCGUUGACGCAUCUUAAGAGGACACUUAAAAUUUCAAAAUUGGAGAAUGUAAAAUGCGUUGGUGAUGCCAUGGAGGCUCAAAUGGAUGGAAAGAAGAAUCUGAAAGAAUUAUCGCUUAAUUGGACUUGCAGUACCGAUGGUUCAUCGUCAAGGGAGGCAGAAACUGAAAUGGGCGUGCUUGACAUGCUAAAACCUCAUACAAAUCUGGAGCAAUUUUGUAUCAAAGGCUAUGGAGGUAUGAAAUUUCCAACUUGGUUGGGAGAUUCCUCAUUCUCAAAUUUGGUGACCCUAAAAUUUGAAAAUUGUGACAUGUGUACUGCCCUGCCGUCAGUCGGCCAACUACCCUCUCUAAAGCAUCUUGCAGUAUGUGGAAUGAGCAGAGUAAAGAGGCUGGGUUCAGAGUUCUAUGGGAAUGAUCCUCCAAUUCCUUUUCUAUGCUUGGAGACUCUUCGUUUUGAAGACAUGCAAGAAUGGGAAGACUGGAUUCCCCAUGGAUCCAGUCAAGGAGUUGUUGAAGGGUUUCCUAAAUUGAGAGAGCUUCACAUUUUAAGAUGUUCUAAAUUGAAAGGAACAUUUCCAGAGCACCUUCCUGCAUUGGAGAUGCUUGUUAUUGAAGGAUGUGAAGAAUUGUCAGUUUCGAGUCUUCCAGCUCUUUGCAAAUUACAGAUUGGUGGAUGUAAAAAGGUUGUGUGGGAAAGUGCAACUGGUCAUCUCAGAUCUCAGAAUUCAGUGGUUUGUAGAGAUGCAUCAAAUCAAGUGUUUCUCGCAGGGCCAUUAAAGCCGCAACUGCCAAAAUUGGAAGAAUUGGAGAUAAAUGAUAUGAAAGAGCAUACAUAUAUAUGGAAGAGUCAUGACGGAUUACUACAAGACAUUUGCUCUCUCAAAAGAUUGACGAUUGACAGCUGUCCCAAACUUCAAUCCUUGGUGGCGGAGGAAGAGAAAGACCAACAACAGCAGCUCUGCGAGUUGUCAUGCAGACUCGAAUAUCUAGGAUUGAGCGACUGCCAAGGCCUUGUGAAGCUGCCACAAUCAUCGCUCAGCCUGAGUUCCUUGAGAGAGAUAGAAAUCUGCGGUUGUCAUUCCCUUAUUUCCUUUCCUGAGGUUGCUCUGCCUUCCAAGUUGAAGAAAAUUGAGAUUAGCAAAUGUGAUGCACUGAAAUCGUUACCAGAGGCAUGGAUGUACGACUCCAAUUCAUCUCUCGAGGACAUGAGUAUUAGGAAGUGCUAUUCGUUGACAUAUAUUGCUGGAGUCCAGCUACCACUGAGCCUUAAGAGGUUGGACAUCCUUAAUUGCGAUAAUAUAAGGACUUUGACAGUGGAAGAGGGCAUCCAGUGUAGCAAUAGCAGCAGCAGCAGCAGAAGGUAUGCCUCAUCUCUUCUUGAGGACUUAACAAUUUACAGGUGUCCAUCUCUGACGUGUAUAUUUUCAAAAAACGAGUUACCUGCCACGCUGGAGUCCCUUGAAGUUGGCAAUCUACCUCCGUCUCUUAAGAGCCUUAAUGUUUGGAGUUGUUCAAAGCUGGAGUCAAUAGCAGAAAGGUUGGACAACAACACAUCUCUUGAAAAAAUCAGUAUAGAGAGGUGUGGAAAUCUGAAAAAUUUACCGAGUGGUUUACAUAAUCUCCGAGAGCUUCAAAAGAUUGAGAUAGGCGAAUGUGGAAAUCUGGUGUCCUUUCCCGAAGGGGGAUUGCCUUGUGCGAAACUCACGAGGCUGCAGAUAUCUGAUUGUGAGAGACUAGAGGCCUUACCCGAGGCAUUGCACAAUCUGAGCUCUCUUGAAGACUUAAAAAUAGGAGGUGAGCUUCCAAGCCUUGAAGAAGAUGGCCUUCCCACCAACCUUCAUUUUCUGAAGAUUGAGCGUAAUAUGGAGAUUUGGAAGUCAAUGAUUGAGCGGGGCCGGGGAUUCCGCAGAUUCUCCUCUCUGCGAGGACUUAAAAUCAUCGGAUGCGAUGACGACAUGGUGUCAUUCCCACCGGAGGACAUAAGAUUAGGGACCACGCUUCCUCUUCCUGCCUCUCUAACAUAUCUGAAGAUUGAUAAUUUUCCAAAUCUGGAACGCCUAUCUUCUUUAAUUGUUGAUCUUCAAAACCUCACUCAUUUGUAUCUCUAUGAUUGUCCCAAGCUCAAAUACUUUCCGGAAAAGGGCCUGCCUUCCUCACUUUUGCUAUUAAUUAUCUGGAAAUGUCCGUUGAUAGAAGAGAAGUGCAGAAAGGAUGGAGGACAAUAUUGGGACUUGUUAACCCAUAUACCGCGUGUUGUUAUAGAUGGUAAAUCCGCUUUUGGCGAUAACACAUAGGACGGCUGAAAUAUUUUAUUGUCAGUAUUUUUUUUUUUAAUUGUGCGUGUAUGUGUUGGUGAUUAAUGGGUUUUCGAAAUAAAAAGAACAAUGGGCUCGCAUUAUUUAGCAAAGGAGGAGGACUCUAUUAAUUAAUUAAUUAAUUAAUUAAUUAAUUUCUUAUGCCUAUCUCAUUCUCAGCGGUUGAAACUUCAAUUUCUUAUAUUUGUUCUUCUGCUGUAUGGUUACAUAUGUAAAAUAUUUUAUUAUUAAAUUUUUUUUCUUUAAAAUCAGGUGUGUUUGUGUGUAAUUUUAAAAUUCAAAUCUCAGUUGAAAACUGUUUUAAAUUAAUAAAAAGAAAAAUGUUAAGUACAUUAAGGGGCUCGCAUUAUUUUAGCAGCGGGGGACUGUAUUAAUUAAUUAAUUAAUGGAUUAAUUUCUUAUGCGUAUCUCAUGCUUAGCUGCUAGAAAUAAACUUCAGUUUCUUUUACUUAGCUGUGCGGUUACAUAUGUAUAAUAUUUCUCUUCAUCAGACUUCGGCAAAAAUUGUUACUGUUCUUAUUAGUAAUUAAUUAGUAUCUUUAUCGAAAGAAUUACCAGACUCUUCAUCAAUGUUAAUAAUCUUAGGCUGCCUCUUCUUCUCUUUAGCAAGCUUUGGCAUUGUGAUCCUUAGAACACCAUUUUCCAAAUGAGCCUUAACAUGUUCCAAGUCAACACUCAUUGGCAUCCUAAACUGCCUCCAAAACUUGCCAAAUGUCCUCUCAGCUCUGUGCCAUUUCUCCCCUUCCAGUCCCUCCUUAUAAUAAUCAUCACUCUUCCUCUCCCCACUCACUCUCAAUACUCGGUUCUCUUCAACUUCAAUCUUCACAUUAUCUUUCUUCAUCACUGGAAUGUCGAGCGUGAUCACGUGUGUUGUUGGUGUCUCCAUCCAGUCUGCACUCGCCGGGGCUAGAGUUUGAUGAUGAUCAGCUCCUUUUGCGAUUGUUAAAGGGGUUUGUUCAAGAACCUUGAAAGACUCUUCCGCCAUUGGUAACAUCAUGUCAAAGAAAGGUGAUCGUGUGUACGGCAUCAGAGCGUUUGCUUGUAAUGCCAUGUUCAUCAAUGUUGCUGCCACAACAAGAAACAGCAUUGUCAUUGCAAGAAUUCUUGAUUUUGCCAUCUGGGUAGCUAGCUAGCUUUUUGAAAGUGUUUGUUUGAAGCUAAGUGUUUGUUGAUUUUCUAAUGAAAUGGAGGGAGGUGAAUUAAAGAAAUAUAUACAAUUAGACUGGAUUAUAGCUCGAUAUCUGGAUAGUUCUUUAGAAAUCUUUGCGAAAGAAACUUAGAGAAAAUUCUAGCACAUCGUAGAGCCUAAAAGAAACAUUUUGCAGAUUGUUUUGGAGAUCGAAAUUCUUUUGAUUUGGGAAUUUUAGUUGGAAGCUUUGCUGUAAUUAGAAUAUGACACAUGUUACUUAAAAUAGUUUUGUAUUAAUAUUGAACCAAUAACUCGUAACUUAUUAUAAAACACAAUUUCAUGAUUAUUGUAUAAAUCUACAGUGGAAUUGUCAAAUGAAAGCGCAAUUGGGAAAUAAUUUGUCUCAAUUCACAUGGGAGACAACACUAAUCAGUGUUGUCAUAUAUUAUAAUCUCAAAACGUCACGAUUGUUGCUACCCGGUAAAAACCAGUUCAAUUUGAUUUUCGAUUUAUUCACGACAACUAAGGCGUGAUGGGUAUCAUCAUCAGGCAAUAGAAAUAAAUCAUGACAAAUGACAAUACGACUUUUUAGUUGGCUACGUGUACGAUGCUUUUGAAUUUAGCUAUGCAAUCCAAAGCUCGUUCAAAUUCGCUUUCUUCCAGCGCAAUUGUGAAGCGACAAUAGCCAGGAAUUCCGGUCCACGAGCCACUGUUGAUGCACAAACCAGUUGCCUUGACUAUGGCUUCCCUGAUAUUUGAGUCAUCAAGCUUGAUUUGUUCUGUAGCAGUUUUCUCACCACUGCCAGAUGAAUGCCGGCUGAUCUUUACAGUUUUGUUGAGAUAGGCAGAGGGCUUCGCCACCAUUGAAACACCACCACAGGAUUGAACCACUUCCCACCCACAAUUCUCAAGUGCCUGUUGCAGAAAGAUCACCAUGGAGAAAAUGGUAGGCCAUAUAUUUGGAAUUGAGUAAUAUAAUUCAAAGAUUAUAUACUACAUGUAAUUGGUUAAUUCAAAUUUUCUUGUAAGAGGGCAGAUAGAAGUACCUCUUUCAAGCGCUUUGAUCUACUUUCCAAGUUUCUUACAUGUUCUGCAACAGCAUUCAUCAAGUCUCUUGCUCUUUGCCCUCACAGACCAAGCAACUUCUUUAUAGCGUAUCUGACUGUGCUAUGAGGCUUGCUUAAUCCCGGAAAGCUACUAAAUGCAUCAACCAACUGAGGAUGAUUUAGAACCAGAAACCCAAAUUUGAGUGCUCCAGUCAGCAUCUUCGGAGACAGCCCUCCGAGCAGCGACACAUUGAAAGACGAAUUGGUGGAAGAAUACAGCUUUGACAAACAGCCUUCCAAAUCCCAGCCACCCCAACCCUCGUAGUUGAAUUCCAAUCCUGAGAAUGCAAUAUCAAUCACAACUCUUGCCCCAUAUUUUGCACAAACAGUUAAUAUAUUCUCUAUCUCUUUGUUGCUAUAAAGCAAGCCAGUUGGAUUGAUUGUUGGACCAGAAAUGUACACCCACGGCUUCUUCACGGUCUCAAGUAUCGUCACAAGUGUCUUCUCUGUCAUCUUAAAGCCCACUUCAGACUCAGUUGGAAUAUUCACAAUGUUCGCUUUCAAAAAUCUGGCAGCAGAAACAUAGUUCCCAUUUGAGCCAGCUGGGAAGCAUAAUGUUCCACCUUCUAGGAUACAACAGAGGACUAGCUUAUUAAACAGAGAUUGAGAGCAAUCUGCAUAUAUGAAUUCUGCAUUGAUAUCAAUUGGAAAACCAAAAUUGCUCUUGAUAUACUGUUGGAUGCUGGGGGUGACAUCAAUUUCUGACUCAGACAUGUUUUGUCUUGCGAAACUUUCAAAGAUAGCAGCUUUGACCAGAGAUGGUACGGGCAAGAAGCUUUGGUCUACAUCCAUAUGAAUCAGGCCAGAGUUUGGUGUCUCAGUAAUUGACAGUUCAGCACUGUUGAGGACAGAGAUGGCUGAUCUAGAAAACCCGAUCAUCUCAGUUGAUUUGGCCUUUUCGCAAUCCCUCUGAACAACAUUUAUCAAAUAGCAACUUCAUGAGCUAACUUGCUUCAAUGAAUAAAAACAAAUAGCAGAAAAUGCCAAUGUAGCAGCUAAAAGUGCCAUGAAAUGAACUACAGAGAAAUAUUAAGAAAAAUCAGAGGUUGGAUAAACAUAUGCCAAGUGAAUCAACAAAAAAAUCCAGGUGGAAAAAGAAUCCAGGUUAUUAUAGUCCUUGCAUGAUACUGCAGUACUAAUGUUGCUUCUGAUUUUUGUAACAUAAAUAUCAACUAUCUGAUUAUCUCAUGCUCAAAUGGAAGAGUGAUUAACAUUGGAUAUACUCAUAAAAACAUGAAUAUUCAUGUGCUUCUGUACCUAAAUACAUAUAUUCAAAAAUGGAUUCUGUGAUAUGAAAACAGCGAAAAAAGAGAGAAGGAUAACCUCUUUAUGUGUACGUCGCUGAGCAAGCUGGAAAGCCAGAAGCUCAUGAAAAAGACAACCAUAGUAGUUUUGACUAAUCAGUGCAGUAGUCCCUUCUAGUACUUCCACAGUCUUAGACAAGCCCUUAAAGAUGGCCUCUGCUUCUGAGAUUACAAAAGCAACUUCUAAAUCUGAAUAAACCUGCAAAGAUGAAUUUGGCUUCCAUAAAUAAGAACAAAAAGUUAACAGAAAACCACUGAGAACAAAUCUUGAAACCCAUCUUAUGGCUUGAUCAGAAAAACAGAAAUCUCUUCUUGUAAUAGCAUAACAGUAAAGUGGCCAGUAUAAUGAAAAACAAUCACCUGAUUUUUAACAAGGCCACAAAUAACUGCCGCAUGUGAAGGAAGAACAUUUCCAGCAAGAUAUUUAAGGACCCCAUUGGAACUUGGGAGGCUGGAGAGCUCAAAGUGAUCAGAUAUAUCCAAGAAAAGACGAGAUCCAACUUCUCUUGUAACAUCUAGAAGAUGCACAAAGGCUGAACUGGUAACAGCCUCAAAAUCACCAAUCCCAGAAAUUACCACCUGAGGCUUCAGCUUCUUUAUCAGCUCCACCAUCUCUCUUAUUGGUAUAAGGGUUUCAGCUAAUAAUUUCACUAGCUUUGUGUUGAAUGUUCCCAUUAUCUAGGUAAGAUUUUAAUUAUUUGGGUUAAGUAUCAAAUUAUUUUGUAGUGUUUAAUUUUUAGUUGGAUUUGUAUCAAAUUUUGGUUAAACUUUCUCAAUUUAAGGAUAAUAUAUUUUAACUUUUCAAUCCAUUAGUUUUGUGUUUAUUAUUCCUGCUAAAAUUGUUAAAAAUCAAUAUUUUUGGUUAAAUUCUAAGUAAAUUUUAUUUCUCGUCAGAAUAGUUCCUUAUUUUAGUUAAACUUUCUCCAUUAUGGGUUCAUAUAUUUCAACUAAUAAUUCCAGUGAUUUUGUGUUGAAUCUUCCUAUUAUCGAGGUAAGAUUUCAAUAAUUUGAGUUAGAUACCGAUUUUACUUUGUAAAAUUUUAUUUUUGGUUCUAAUGGUUCCUGAUUUGGUUAAUCUUUCUCAAUUAUAGCCUUAUAUGUUCAACUUUUCAAUCCACUAGUUUUGUGUUUAGUAUUCCUACUAAAAUCGUUAAAUACCAAUAUUUGGGUUAAAUUCCAAGUAUAUAUUAUUUCUCAUUGGAUAAUUUUCCUGAUUUUGGUUAAAUUUUCUCUCAUAUAGGUUCAUUUAUUUCAACUAAUAAUUCAACUAGUUUUAUGUUGAGUGUUCCUAUUAUCUAGUUAAGAUUCUAAUAAUUUGGGUUAAAUAUUAAAUAUACUUUGUAAGAUUUUAUUUUUGGUUGGACUAAUCCCUAAUUUUGGUUAAUCUUUCUCAAUUAUAGGUUAAUAUAUUUCAACUUUUCAAUCCAUGAGUUUUGUGUUUAAUAUUUCUAUUAAAUUCGUUAAGUAACAAUGUUUUGGGUUAAAUUAUAAGUAAAUUUCAUUUCUCGUUGGACUAAUCCCUACUUUUGGUUAAACUUUCUCCUUUAUUGGUACAUGAGUUUCAACUAAUAAUUCACUAGUAUUGUGUUGAAUAUUCCGAUUAUUUAUGUAAGAUUUUAAUAAAUUGGGUUAGAUACCAAAUUUUCUUUUUAGAUUUUAUAUAUAGUUAGAUAAGUUCCAUAUUUUGGUUAAAUUUUCUCACUUAUGGGUUCAAUUACUUCAAUUAAUUAGUUCACUACUUUUGUGUUUCAAGUUCUCAGUGCCUACGUUAUGUUUCAACAUUAUUGGUUAAAUUCCAAGCUGAUAUUAUAAAAUUCAAAGGUACCUUUAUUACGAAAAGCAAAUAAUAUUAUUAAGGUGAAUCUCAUUUUACUCCUCUUAUUUCAGUAAAUAUCAACCUACAACAAUAUAUUAAAAUUUCACUAUUGUAACCCCUAUUCAAUUUUCUAUAAACUACAAUCAAUAUUGUAAGUUAAAAGAUUAGGAACUUACCUAAUCUAAUUAUGUUGGAACAUUUUGUUUUUCUUUUUAAUCUUCUUGACUUCAUGAGAUUUCUUAAACUCAACUUAUUUAUACUUGAGCUUUUGAUCAUUAUAGAUAUGCCUAUUUUAUUAAUUCAAAUUAAUUGUACUCAUUUUCUUUCCAAAAUAAAUUCUUUGAUAUCUCAUCACUUCAACCAAAAUUUCAUUUUUAACAAUUGCAUAUGCAAUUUGUACAGCUCAAAUUUUUAUUUUUCAAAUGUUUAAGAUAAAACAAAUUAUUUAUUUAUUAAUUUAUUAUAUGAUUAUCACAGGAAUAGUGAAAAUUAAUUUUUAUAUUGAAAUUUUAAGAUUUGCAAAUUAGCAUUUACUUUGAAUCCAAUUCAACUAAGUCACUAUUUAUUUAUCUUUAAUUAAUGCUUUAAGCGCAGUAAAUGCAUUUCAAAUUAAACAAUUUGUAUAAAAAAACACAUUAGGAAAUUAAUGCAAUCAAGAAAAAAGAAAAUAUAUUAAAACAUUAAUUUUGCUUCCUCAAUUAAGUAUUAAAAGAAAAAUUUUCUCUUACAGAUAAAUUCAACCUUAUAAUUUAACAAUAAUGUUGACUACAAUUUUAAAACUAUUUAUUUAUUGCUCCAAAUUGCAAUAGUUUUUUAUGAGUCAUAAAAAUUAAAUUUAUUUAACAUUAUACCUAUAUAGUUGGAUACGUAAUUUAUACCUUAAUUGAUGUUGCCUUAUUUUCAAUUAUUAUAUUUUAGUGAUAGUUUAUUUCAUUGUAUACUAAUAGUGUUAUAAAUUUGUAAUAAUUGCUUAUACAUCAUAUUUUUCAUUGAUUACUACUCGAAUUAUAUAAUAUCUAUUUUAUAAGUGAGUAUUACUCAAAUUAAUAUAUUAUACUUUAAAAUUUUAAUUAUUAUACUUAAAUCAUAUAAUCACAUAUGCAAUUAAGCGUAAAUAAUGAAAAGGUCACUUCCCAAGGUUUGGGAAAAUGAUUAUGUAGAUCCCUGAGUUUUCACUAAGAGACACUAAAACCCCUUUUAACUAUAAUGCUUUUUCACUUUAUUAAUUCAAAAAAAUUGACUCUAAAGUUUUAUAAUAAGUAGAAAUAUAAUAUUAAAAUAAAUGUAACAAUAUAUACAUUUUAAAAUAAUUAAUAUAUAAAAAAUAUUUUAGUACUUUACAAUCUUAUAUUAUAGUAAACUAAAUUUUUUUAAUAAAUAGGAACAUAAUAUUAAAAUAAAUAUUUAAAAAUUUAAAUUAUUUUCAAUAUUGUAUACAAAAUUUGAAUACUAUUAAUACAUGAGAUAUAUUUUAUUAAUUAUAAAAUCUAUUUAACCUAAAGAUUUAUUUAAAAUUUUUCUAACAAAUACAAAUAUAUAAUUAAAAUAAAUAUCAUAAUUUACAUUUUAAAAAUUAUUUUAUAUAUUAAAAAUAUUUUAAUAUUAUUAAUUUAUUAGACAAAUUAAACUAUUUAAAUUAUAUUUGUACUUAUUAAAAAUCUAAAAGUCAAUUUUUUGAAUCAAUAAAUCCAAAUUGUAUUAUAGUCAAAGGGGUCUUAGGGUCCCUCGGUGAAAACAUGGGGUUUUAUAUGAUCAUUUUUCCAAAUCUCGGGGGUGUAGGUAUCUUUUUCCCUAAAUUAUUUAAUUAUCAGUGUUGCACUAAAAUUAUAGUUUUCUAGUUACAUUGUUAAUUUAGUUAAGGGUACAAUACAAUGUCAAUAACAAUUAUUGUAAUAAUACCUAAAAAAUUAUGCUUGAUAUUAUUAAAAAAUUAAUUUUUAACAAAUUGUACCUUGUUGACUUGAUUGAGUGGUUUUCAAGUGGGGUUAAAAAAUAAAAUCAAAUUAUACACACUUUAGAAAAAUACAUUCAAUUGGACUAUAUAUAUACACAUUAUUAAAACUUUUAUUAUUAUAGAAAAUAAAAUCAUAUAGACUAUACAAGACAUUUCAUUAAAAAUAUAUAAUAUCGUAAAAAAUAUCAUAAGCUGAAUUUAGUUUAAUCAUAAUAAUAAUUACUAUAAUGACAGUUAUUAACAAUAUAAAAAAAAUAAAGAUUAUCCUUUGUUGUUUAGGAAAACGAAAAACCCUCUCAUGUUUUAAAAUAAGUUCAAAUUCUCCUGCAACUCUAACUGUGUUAGCUUUAUAUAUCAUUGUACUAUUUGACACAUAGUUUUGAUGUUAGCCAUAAAAUUUAAAUAUUUUUAGAGUAUAAAUAAAGUGAAAUGACUUAUAUAACCCUAAUGAUUAAAUAAAUUUAAUAAUAAAUUAUCGAGAAAAAUUACUUCACACACACACACACACACACACACACACACACACACAUAUUGUGGAUAUAUAUAACCAAAUGUUAUUCCAAUUUAAAUGGAUAAUUUACAACUAUUAGGGAUAUUUUCCCCACUUGUAAUUUUUCUCUAUAAUUUACAAUUUAUUAUAAAAUAAAAUUUGAUCAUUAAGGAUAUAUAAGUUAUUUUACUUAAUUUGUAUUUUCAAAAUAUUUAAAUUUUAUAGCUAACAGUAAGAUUAGGGGUAGAAUAGUAAAAUGAUAUAUAAAGCUAACAUUAUUAUAACUUGGGGGGGAGGAGUAGGAGGUAAUUCUCAUUUUCUCUUAACUAUCAUUAAUGAUAGUACUAGUAAUAACUCAAGAUCAAAUAUGUUACAUGCGAUAAUUUAAUAAUGUAGCAAAAUAAAAAAAUUAAACAAAGUAUGCAAUAAUUUAAUUAAUUUGUGAUAAAUUUGUAUGAAGUAAUUUGUGUAAGAGAAACUUUGUGAGUAUAAUCCAAAUAUCAAAUAUAUGGUACAUUAUAUAUGCCUUGUAUACAGUACAAAUUUAAACCAUUAAUAUUAGUCACUAUUCAACUAAUAUUGAGAAUAACAAUAUUUGAUGAUUAAUAAGGAUAUUUGGUACUAUGAAUAAUUAUAAUUAUUUGAAAACUAUCCAAUAGUUAAAUGGAAAAUAAGAAAAAAAUAUACUUAGUUUACACUAAUAUAAAUAUUAUUCUCACUAAUAUAGACAUUACAUGUUUCAAAGUAAUUUUUUCAGCCAUAAGAAAAUGCAAAUUUUUCAUGCUGAGGAGGGUGUCUUUGAAAUUUUCCUAAUUUAAAUUGAUAAUUUUGAUAUUUAGAUAAAAUUGGUUGUAGCUAUGUGAUAAUUGCUACUGAUAUUUGCCAGCUCCCACUUCCAAUUCUUUCGUUCGGUAGCAGGUUUCAUGCGUAAAAAAUAAAAGCCGUUGGAUUGCUUUUAUAAGCAAUCCAACGGGGAAUAGGUUUCAAAAUAAAAAAUAAAAACGGCUGUAUGGCAUGCAGUGGCUGUAUUAUAAGCGGACCCAUUACUCACAGUUAGCCAAGGCGCCGUCCGGUCAUAAUUGACAUAGGGUGCGUUUGGGAUUGAGGUUGGGCAGCUGUAGCUUAAAAGUUACAGCACUAAAGUGUUUGGUAAACACUAACUGCUGUAGCUUUUAAGCUAUGUUGAUAUAAUUUUUCACUUGUAUAAUAUAAAAUUUAUUAUAUCUUUAAUAAUUUUGAUAAAAUUAUUAUUUAAAAUUUAUAUUUACUAUAUAUUAUUAACUUUUAUUUUAUAAUUACAGUUUUUUUUUCACAGCAGCUGUAGCUUAAAAGCUACAGCACCUCAAUCCCAAACGCACCCAAAAGAGCUCACCGGUAACACAAUACACAAUAUGAAGAAUAGUUGCUUGAUCAGGAAGUCCAACUUUGUAGCUAUAAUUUUUUUUUUUUUGAGAAGUGUAGCUAUAAUAUGCUAUUUUCAUAAGACUUCGUUAAAGAUUAUUUUGUAAUUAAUUUCACACAACACAACCCUACAGAAAAUUGACCAAAACAAAAUGAAAUAUCAACGCUGUAAUUAGCACUUGAUGAAAGGAAAAGAAGAAACAAAUUAAUUUGUAAGGAGUACUGCGAUACGUAUAUGAAUUUGUUUAGAGUUCUUUAUCAUAGAAAAAAUCAAUUGUACGUCCUUCGUAUUUUCUCUAUAAAAACUUGCAAUAUAGACCAUGUGUUUGUUAUGAUAUUUACUAGAGUGAAUUGUUGUUUUUGUGAUUAUCAAAUAAUAUACUUCAGAGUUAUUUAUUUUUAUGUACAUAUAAAAUUGAAUUUAUUUGAAUGUGCACAAGAGUCAUUGGAAGGAUUUGCUCAUUAAUGGUUGGUUUGUCAAGUAAACUGACCAGACAAUUUAUCAAAAGCACUUUAUUACAUCAUCUUCAUAAGUGCACUGAUGUAGACUAUCCCUGAAUCCCAUAACAACAAAAACAGAAAAUCAAAAGAGAAACAGUAUCCCAGAAUGCCAAAAAAAUAUCAGAAACAAAAAUCAAACAAAGCAAUUCAAAAGCAUUUGCUUGUGAUGCCAUGACCAAGAAUGCUACUACCAUAACAAGAAAUGGCAUUGCAAGACUAUAGAAUGCCACAUGUGCGAAUGAGAAGAACAUUACAAAUCAACAAUUCAAAGAAAAAAAAGAAUUUAAACCAGCUAAAAGGAUAGGCAUUAGGUAGAAUUUCACACGAAGAACAAGACUAAGAAAAUUUAAGGUGAUUUGCAUUUAUAAUCAGCAAACGACUCAACAUAUCAGAAUGAGAAGAACAUUCAGGAAUCACCAGGCAGGACAAGAUCAAGGAGGCAACAAGGAAGCAUUUGUUUUGGCCAAAUAAAGUUUGCAGAUCUUUUAAUGCUAAUAUUAGUAAUAAAACCAUCACUGGGAUAUUGGUUUGGCAAUGUUUAAUUAAUGGCCCUGAGCUUUAUGAUCUUUAUUACAUAUGUAUUUAAUGCAACUACACAUACAUGUAAUAUGUACCAUGUAGGCUUAUUUAUUUAUAUUAAUAAUUAAUAUGAUCUUUUCAAACUUAGCCGAAGUUGUUCAACAUAAAAAUACUCAAAUAUUCAGUGUUCUUGAUUAAAUUAGCAUCAAUGGACAUAAUUAAAUAAAGAAAAUCGGAUUAUUACGAUGAUUGGUUUAGUUAGCUACAUUAGUGUUAUUUUGUCUAAUUAUCAAGGAUAACAUUUAAUUAUAUAUAAUAUGUCCUUCAUAUUUUCUCUUUUAAUUAAAAUCGUAAAAAGACUUGCAAUAUAGACCAUGCAUUUGUUAUGUUGUUUAUUGGAGUGAAUUGGUGUUUUUGUUGUGAUUGUCAAAUAUUGUCUUUGUAAGUUAUCUAUUUUGUAUAUAUGAAAUCAACGAGAGUUUCACUCUUAUGGAAGGAUGUUGCUAGGUACCAAGAAGUAAGAACUGAUAGUUGUGUUAAUUAAUUAGUAUAAGUUAGCUGAAUGUUCAAUGUUCAUGCUCUUUUGAGCUACAUAUGACAAUGAAAAUUGAGUUUCUGUGUAAAAUAUGAAGCUAUUCAAUCAAGCAACUCUGCUUUUCAAUUUUCUUACAUCUAAGUCAAAUAGCACUCUUUUAUAAAUCUUCGAGAGAACAAAGCUAAUGCAGGUUCGUACUUAUUAAAUUUAACAUCAGACAAUGAAGUGUAAAAAGUGAAAUUCUUAUCUAUGAUAAACACCUAAAAUAAUUGCAUUGAGUUUUUCAAUUUUCAAAUUUUCAUUGCUAACUCAACAAUUGAGAGACUGAAACAUAUGGAAUAAGAAAUUAACAUAUUCAACCCAAAAGAUUAUUCAACUUAGAUGAUUCAAUAUAACACCUAAUAAGCUUAUGAGUCUUAUUUAAGGAAUAUUAUAAUUUUACUUGGAUUGCUAGAAAUCACGGGAUGUUAUUCAUUUAAGCAUGUGAUACACUUGUUUGAUGAAUUGCUUAUAUGAGUAGAUUAGAUUUUUAUUUUGGUCAUAUUUCUUAUUUUUCUAAUCCCAUCUGUCCCCUAUUCCCUAUCCCGCAUCAAAUGGUGAUAAGAGUUUCCCUAUCAUAUGUCGAACCCAUUAAAGCCAAAAGUAAGAAGUUAAAGAACUAUUUUGUACUGGUUAUACAAAGAACUAUAUUACAAUACUCCACACCCACCCAAAAAAAAAAAAAAAAAUGAAGGCACCAUUCAUACUUCCAAAUCCAGCACUAGCACUUGAAAACAAUAUAAACAAAGGAAUUUGCCAAUAAAAAAGUCAGCUGCAGAAAGCCAAGAAGAUGCAACUAGAAGCUAAGGGAUGUAAGGGAAGGAAAUCUAUUCCGAAAGAACUCCAAAUUGAAUUCAGCAAGUAACAUUGACUUGCCCAGUUACAAAAGGAAGCCACUUUAAUCCUUUAAGAUGAUUCUGAUGAAAUUGGUUCCCUGUAUUGAAACAAUAAACUGCACCAAGGAUAGCACUAAAGGCAGAGCCAGAUUACAAGGGAAGAAAAAAGGGAGGAAAAAAAAUUUUACAACAUGAAAUUGGACUUUUGUUUUAUCUUCCACAAGCAAGAAGUUCGACUAGAAAAGUAUAAAACAAGUACAAAAUAUGAAAUUUUUAGCAAUCUUACAAAAUCACACCUAAAUCUCAAUAAGAUUGUACAUAGUUUUAGUAAAGCUCUACAACUAUUUAUUUAACACCUAAUAAGAUCAUCUCCAUAAUUUUAAAAGCUUACACAAAGAAAGAAUACUUUUGAAUACAAAUAUACAAUGGAGUAGAGAACAAAAAAUGACAUAGAGGGAAAAAAAACACCAAGAGCAGAAAGAGUACAUAUACCAUCUCUAGCCCAUAAUUCAGACUUAUCCCCAUUGCACUUAUAAAUCAAGAUAUGAAGUUUAGGGUCUAAAGUCUUCAACUCCUUGUAGUUCUUCUCCACAGAUGAUCUGUAAAAGUUAUAAGAGAAAGGUAAUUAGUUUGCAACUCUUUCUAGCAAGUUGAUUAGUAAUUCCUAAACAAGUUUAUAGCUUAUUAAUUAUAGUUGGAAUGCCCCCAAAGUUACUAAAACACAAACAAUAGAAACAAUGAGUUUUAAAUUAGUUGUGAGCAAUGCAUAUUCUACCAUCAUUCUCAUUUUGGUCUCCCAUGAAUAUGAUGGCAAUAUGUAUAAUGGUAUUUUCCCAAUAUCAGACUAAGACAACAUCUUUAUAACAAUAAUUCUGACAUUUUCUACUAUUUUUAUUUUUUUGCUAACAAAAUGUACAUCAGAACAUAAAUUUGAAGAAAAAUAAAAUUUAAGCAUACUCAUGUCAUUUAAUCAUAAAAAUGAAUAUCAAAAUUAAGCCUAGAUCUCAACAAUUAAACUCUAAACAAAUUAAACCAAAAAAAAAAAAAACAGCUACCCAAAUGAUGGCGUUAAAAGGUUUGAGGACUUGUACGAUAUCCAACAUUUGCGAACAUUUUUACCGAAAAUCUUCGUCAUCUAUCAUACAUUCCUGAAUAUUGUGAUGGCGUUAAAAGGUUUGAGGACUUGUACGAUAUCCAACAUUUGCGAACAUUUUUACCAGUAACGUUGUCAAAUAGUUCGCGUGGACACUUGGCUUAUAGCAUUCUUCCUAAGUUGUUCAAACUCCAACGCUUGAGGGUCUUCUCUUUGUUUGGAUACCGCAUCUCUGAGCUACCAAAUUCAGUUGGUGAUUUGAGGUAUUUAAGGUACCUUAACCUGUCUGGAACUGAGAUUAGAACUCUACCUGAAUCAGUCAGCAAGCUUUACAAUUUGCAUAGUCUUUUGUUGGAAGAUUGUGAUCGGCUGGAGAAGUUGUGUGCACACAUGGGAAAUCUCGUCAAAUUGCAUCAUCUUAAGAAUUCAAAUACGAAGUCGUUGGAGGAAAUGCCGGUAGGAAUUGGCAGGCUGACUUGUCUUCAGACGUUGUGUAAUUUUAUUGUGGGAAAAGACAGUGGUUCCGGGUUAGGAGAGCUAAAGUUGUUGACGCAACUUAGGGGGACACUUUGCAUUUCAAAUUUGGAGAAUGUAAAACACAUUGUUGAUGCCGAGGACGCUCAAUUGGAUAGAAAGGAGAAUCUUAAAGAAUUAUGGUUUCGAUGGACACUCUAUGGCUCGUAUCCAAGGGAGGCAGAAACUGAAAUGGGCGUGCUUGACAUGCUAAAACCUCAUACAAAUCUGGAGCAAUUUUGUAUCAAAGGCUAUGGAGGUAUGAAAUUUCCAACUUGGUUGGGAGAUUCCUCAUUCUCAAAAUUGGUGACCCUAAAAUUUAAAAAUUGUGACAUGUGUACUGCCCUGCCGUCUGUCGAGCAACUGCCCUCUCUAAAGCAUCUUACAGUGCGUGGAAUGAGCAAAGUAAAGAGAUUGGGUUCAGAGUUCUAUGGGGAUGACUCUCCAAUUCCAUUUCCAUGCUUGGAGACUCUUCGUUUUGAAGACCUGCAAGAAUGGGAAGACUGGAUUCCUCAUGGAUCCAGUCAGGGAGUUGAACGGUUUCCUAAAUUGAGAGAGCUUCGCAUUUUAAGAUGUUCUAAACUGAAAGGAACAUUUCCAGAGCACCUUCCUGCAUUGGAGAUGCUUGUUAUUGAAGGAUGUGAAGAAUUGUUAGUUUCAGUUUCGAGUCUUCCAGCUCUUUGCAAAUUUAUAAUUGGUGGAUGCAAAAAGGUUGUGUGGGAAAGUGCAACUGGUCAUCUCGGAUCACAGAAUUCAGUGGUUUGUAGAGAUACCUCAAAUCAAGUGUUUCUUGCGGGGCCAUUGAAGCCACAACUACCGAAAUUGGAAGAAUUGGAGAUAAAUGAUAUGAAAGAGCAGACGUAUAUAUGGAAGAGUCAUAACGAAUUACUGCAAGACGUUUGCUCUCUCAGAAGACUGACGAUUGCAAGCUGUCCCAAACUUCAAUCCUUGGUGGCGGAGGAAGAGAAAGACCAACAACAGCAGCUCUGCGAGUUGUCAUGCAGACUUGAAUAUCUAGCAUUGAGCGGAUGCGAAGGCCUUGUGAAGCUGCCACAAUCAUCGCUCAACCUCAAUUCCUUGAGAGAGAUAGAAAUCUACGGCUGCAAGUCCCUUGUUUCCUUUCCUGAGGUUGCUCUGCCUUCCAAGUUGAAGAAAAUUCAGAUUAGAGAAUGUGACGCACUGAAAUCGUUACCAGAGGCAUGUAUGUGCGACACCAAUUCGUCUCUCGAGAUCUUGGAGAUUUUGGAUUGCCAUUCGUUGACAUAUAUUGCUGGAGUCCAGCUACCACCGAGCCUUAAGAGGUUGCACAUCACUUCUUGCGAUAAUAUAAGGACUUUGACAGUGGAAGAGGGCAUCCAGUGUAGCAAUAGCAGUACUUAGGUAUUGUCGAUUGUCGAUCUCUGACAUGUAUAUUUUCAAAAAACGAGUUACCUACCACGCUUGAGUCCCUUGAAGUUGGCAAUCUACCUCCGUCUCUUAAGGGCCUUUAUGUUUAUGGAUGUUCGAAGCUGGAGUCAAUAGCAGAAAGGUUGGACAACAACACAUCUCUUGAAUACAUCAACAUUUAUAAUUGUGAAAAUUUGAAGAUUUUACCGAGUGGUUUACAUAAUCUCCGCCAGCUUCAAGAGAUUACUAUACAGAGGUGUGGAAAUCUGGUGUCCUUUCCCGAAGGGGGAUUGCCUUGUGCGAAACUGACUAGGCUCGAUAUCCGCGACUGUGGGAGACUAGAGGCCUUACCACAGGGAUUGCACAAUCUGACCUCUCUUCAAGAAUUAAUAAUAAUAAGAGGUGAGCUUCCAAGCCUUGAAGAAGAUGGCCUUCCCACCAACCUUCAUUCCCUUAGUAUUCGGGGUAAUAUGGAGAUUUGGAAGUCAAUGAUUGAGCGGGGCUGGGGAUUUCACAGAUUCUCCUCUCUGCGACAACUUACAAUCAUGAAUUGUGAUGACGACAUGGUGUCAUUCCCACCAAAGGCAGAUGACAAAGGAUCGGAGACCGCGCUUCCUCUUCCUGCCUCUCUAACAACUCUGAGGAUUCACAAUUUUCCAAAUCUGGAACGCCUAUCUUCUUCAAUUGUUGAUCUUCAAAACCUCACUGAAUUGCGACUCAUUGGUUGUCCCAAGCUCAAAUACUUUCCGGAGUAGGGCCUGCCUUCCUCACUUUUGCAUUUAAGAAUCGUGGAUUGUCCGUUGAUAGCAGAGAAGUGCAGAAAGGAUGGAGGACAAUAUUGGGACUUAUUAACCCAUAUACCGCAUGUUGAUAUAAAUGGUAAAAUAGGUUUUUGAUGACUGAAAUGUUUUAUUAUUAGAAAUUUUCUUUUUUAGUUGGGUGUGUUUGUGAAUGUAAUUUCAAAUCUUAGUUGAAAACUAUUUUUCUUUUGCAAUUACAGAUGUUGAGAUGUCCGUUGAUGGAAGAGAAGUGCAGAAAGGAUGGAGGACAAUAUUGGGACUUGUCAACCCAUAUACCUUAUGCUCGAAUAGGUUUUUGAUGACGACUCAACAGAGGACGACUAAUGAAUGGGUAGAGGUCGACUAAUCAAUGGGUUCGCAUUAUUUAGCUAGCAAAGGAGGAGGACUCUAUUAAUUAAUUAAUUAAUUAAUUUCUCAUUCUCAGCUGUUGAAACUUCAGUUUCUUAUAUUUGUCUUUUCCGCAGUACAGUUACAUAUAUUUGUCCUUUACAUAAUUUCUUAUGUAAAAUAUUUUAUUAUUAGAAUUUUUUUUUUCUUUUAAAUCAAGCGUGUUUGUGUAUGUAAUUUUAAAAUUCAAAUUUGGCUGUUGAAAUAAACUUCAGUUUCUUUUAUUUGGCUGUACGGUUAAAUAUGUGUAAUAUUUCUCUUCAUCAGACUUCGACAAAAAUUGUUAAUGUUCUUAUUAGUAAUUAAUUAGUACGGUAGUGUUCUUCUUUUGUUCCACAAUUUAUCAAAAGCAUUUUACUACAUAAUCUUUGUACAUGUACAUCGUCAUCAAAUCCCAUAACACCCAAAACAGAAAAUCAAAAGAAAACAAGAACAUGCCACACAAUAUCAAAAACGAAAAGAACAUUAUAACACCAAGUAUUAUAUUUCUCUAAUUAUAUUUCGGCUUUAGUGGCCUUAACUUAAAAUCUCCUCCAGAACAAUCUGCCUCCUCAGCAAUAAUGUUAUAAUGUUCUUUUGAUGUUGUUGUUUUUUUAGGUGCUACUUAAACAGAUGAGGGCUGGGCCGCGUUACAAAAUUAUUUGUAAUUUUUAAUUUAAUUGUUUAUGUGCCAUCGCUAUUAAUAUUAACCGAUAAAUACAAUUUUAUCAAUUACUGAAUAUUUGAAUUCAUCAAAACUGUUAUAAUUGAUCAGGAAGUCCAACUUUGUAGCUAUAAUAUGCUAUUUUCAUAAGACUUCGUUAAAGAUUGUUUUGUAAUUAAUUUCACACAACACAACCCUACAGAAAAUUGACCAAAACAAAAUGAAAUAUCAAGGCUGUAAUUAGCACUUGAUCAAAGGAAAAGAAGAAACAAAUGAAUUUGUAAGGAGUACUGCGAUACGUAUAUGAAUUUGUUUAGAGUUCUUUAUCAUAAAAAAAAUCAAUUGUAUGUCCUUCGUAUUUUCUCUAUAAAAACUUGCAUUAUAGAAAAUCAAAAGAGAAACAGCAUCCCAGAAUGCCAAAAAAAUAUCAGAAACAAAAAUCAAACAAAGCAAUUAAAAAGCAUUUGCUUGUGAUGCCAUGACCAUGAAUGCUACUGCCAUAACAAGAAAUGGCAUUGCAAGACUGUAGAAUGCCACAUGUGCGAAUGAGAAGAACAUUACAAAUCAACAAUUCAAAGAAAAAAGAAGAAUUUAAACCAGCUAAAAGGAUAGGCAUUAGGUAGAAUUUCACACAAAAAACAAGACUAAGAAAAUUUAAGGUGAUUUGCAUUUAUAAUCAGCAAAUGAGUCAACAUAUCAGAAUGAGAAGAACAUUCAGGAAUCACCAGGCAGGACAAGAUCAAGGAGGCAACAAGGAAGCAUUUGUUUUGGCCAAAUAAAGUUUGCAGAUCUUUUAAUGCUAAGAUUAGUAAUAAAACUAUCACUGGGAUAUUGGUUUGGCAAUGUUGAAUUAAUGGCCCUGAGUUUUAUGAUCUUUAUUACAUAUGUAUUUAUUGCAACUACACAUACAUGUAAUAUGUACCUUGUAGGCUUAUUUAUUUAUAUUAAUAAUUAAUAUGAUCUUUUCAAACUUACACGAAGUUGUUGAACAUAAAAAUACUCAAAUAUUCAGUGUUCUUGAUUAAAUUAGCAUCAAUGGACAUAAUUAAAUAAAGAAAAUCGGAUUAUUACGAUGAUUGGUUUAGUUAGCUACAUUAGUGUUAUUUUGUCUAAUUAUCAAGGAUAACAUUCAAUUAUAUAUAAUAUGUCCUUCAUAUUUUCUCUUUUAAUUAAAAUCGUAAAAAGACUUGCAAUAUAGACCAUGCAUUUGUUAUGUUGUUUAUUGGAGUGAAUUGAUGUUUUUCUUGUGAUUGUCAAAUAUUGUCUUUGUAAGUUAUCUAUUUUGUAUAUAUGAAAUCAACGAGAGUUUCACUCUUAUGGAAGGAUGUUGCUAGGUACCAAGAAGUAAGAACUGAUAGUUGUGUUAAUUAAUUAGUAUAAGUUAGCUGAAUGUUCAAUGUUCAUGCUCUUUUGAGCUACAUAUGGCAAUGAAAAUUGAGUUUCUGUGUAAAAUAUGAAGCUAUUCAAUCAAGCAACUCUGCUUUUCAAUUUUCUUACAUCUAAGUCAAAUAGCACUCUUUUAUAAAUCUUCGAGAGAACAAAGUUAAUGCAGGUUCGUACUUAUUAAAUUUGACAUCAAACAAUGAAGUGUAAAAAGUGAAAUUCUUAUCUAUGAUAAGCACCUAAAAUAAUUGCAUUGAGUUUUUCAAUUUUCAAAUUUUCAUUGCUAACUCAACAAUUGAGAGACUGAAACAUAUGGAAUAAGAAAUUAACAUAUUCAACCCAAAAGAUUAUUCAACUUAGAUGAUUCAAUAUAACACCUAAUAAGCUUAUGAGUCUUAUUUAAGGAAUAUUAUAAUUUUACUUGGAUUGCUAGAAAUCACGGGAUGUUAUUCAUUUAAGUAUGUGAUACACUUGUUUGAUGAAUUGCUUAUAUGAGUAGAUUAGAUUUUUAUUUUGGUCAUAUUUCUUAUUUUUCUAAUCCCAUCGGUCCCCUAUUUCCCAUCCCACAGCAAAUGGUGAUAGAGCUUCCCUAUCAUAUGUCAAACCCAUUAAAGCCAAAAGUAAGAAGUUAAAGAACUAUUUUGUACUGGCUAUACAAAGAACUAUAUUACAGUACUACGCACCCCAAAAAAAAAAAAAAAUGAAGGCACCAUUCAUACUUCCAAAUCCAGCACUAGCACUUGAAAACAAUAGAAACAAAGGAAUUUGCCAAUAAAAAAAGUCAGCUGGAGAAAGCCAAGAAGAUGCAACUAGAAGCUAAGUGAUGUAAGGGAAUGAAAUCUAUUCCGAAAGAACGCCAAAUUGAAUUCAGGAAGUAACAUUGACUUACCCAGUUACAAAAGGAAGCCACUUUAAUCCUUUAAGAUGAUUAUGAUGAAAUUGGUUCCCUGUAUUGAAACAAUAAACAGCACCAAGGAUAACACUAAAGGCAGAGCCAGAUUAUAAGGGAAGAAAAAAGGGAGGAAAAAAAAUUUUACAACAUGAAAUUGGACUUUUGUUUUAUCUUCCAAAAGCAAGAAAUUCGACUAGAAAAGUAUAAAACAAGUACACAAUAUGAAAUUUUUAGCAAUCUUACAAAAUCACACCCAAAUCUCAAUAAGAUUGUACAUAGUUUUAGUAAAGCUCUACAAAUAUUUAUUUAACACCUAAUAAGAUCAUCUCCAUAAAUUUAAAAGCUUAAAACAAAGAAAGAAUACUUUUGAAUACAAAUAUACAAUGGAGUAGAGAACAAAAAAUGACAUAGAGGGAAAAAAAACACCAAGAGCAGAAACAGUACAUAUACCAUCUCUAGCCCAUAAUUCAGACUUAUCCCCAUUGCACUUAUAAAUCAAGAUAUGAAGUUUAGGGUCUAAAGUCUUCAACUCCUUGUAGUUCUUCUUCACAGAUGAUCUGCAAAAGUUAUAAGAGAAAGGUAAUUAGUCUUCAACUCUUUCUAGCAAGUUGAUUAGUAAUUCCUAAACAAGUUUAUAGCUUAUUAAUUAUAGUUGGAAUGCCCCCAAAGUUACUAAAACACAAACAAUAGAAACAGUGAGUUUUAAAUUAGUUGUGAGCAAUGCAUAGUCAGCCAUCAUUCUCAUUUUAGUCUCCCAUGAAUAUGAUGGCAAUAUGUAUAAUGGUAUUUUCCCAAUAUCAGACUAAGACAGCAUCUUUAUAACAAUAAUUCUGACAUUUUCUACUAUUUUUAUCUUUUUGCUAACAAAAUGUACAUCAGAACAUAAAUUUGAAGAAAAAUAAAAUUUAAGCAUACUCAUGUCAUUUAAUCAUAAAAAUGAAUAUCAAAAUUAAGCCUAGAUCUCAACAAUUAAACUCUAAACAAAUUUAACCAAAAAAAAAAAUCAGCUACCCAAAUGAAAUUUGCGUUUGCAUUGAAGCUCGGCCCACGAUAUCCCCAUGUUUAGCGAUCAAUUAGAGGGAAAUUGAACAAGAUACACAACCAGGGCUUUUUUUUCUCCAGUGCCUCAAUAUCAACGUCGUCAACCACCACAUCUUCGUCGUCAUCAUCAUUACUUCAUAAUUCCACAAUUAACAAAAAAUCCCCAAAUGUCAGAAACCUAAUUCAACCGAAUAAUUAACAGGAAAUGGCACCGGUUGAGCGAUGGCUAUAGAGUAAGGAACUGGUGCUUCAUGAGCGGCCAGUAGCUUGCAACAAUAUUGAGUGAUGAUUGUCGAGUUUAGUGGCUUAGGGUCUCGGUCAACUGUGAGGCUGUAAGGGCUUGGGGUUUUUCUCAAUUAAGGAACUUUUUGAGGCUUCCACUGAUUUGUAAUGUAGAGUUGUGAGAGGCUUAGGGUUAGGGUUCAAUUAAUUCAGCGAUUAUUGGAGAGACAGGGAGCGUGCUUGAGAGUGAAGGAGUAGAGCUUGCUUAUCAAUUCGUUCAUCACUCACUGCAAAUUUGCCAAGUUUUGAUAUGUUAGCUUAAUAUAUUUACAAAACCAAACGACACCAAUUAUUUUAUUAUUUUUUUAAUUUUUAAAAUUAAUUAAAUAUCAACAAUGGCAAUUUUCUAAUUAAACAAAUCUUAAACAAUUUUAAAAUAUCAAUUUCGUCCGUUAUUAGUAAUUCAUAAAUAAAAUAAUAUUUAAUCAAACAAAAUAUCAAGCACUGGCAGUUGGUAGCGGUAUUUUUGUAAUUAAAUAUUUAAAAAAAAACAAAAAAUAUUGCCUGUUAUGUAAUGUACUUAUCAUAACUUCAUAUUGUAUCUGCAUCAGUCAUGAAUCUAUCAUUAAAUAAUCACGGAAGCAUUAUAUGUUACCGAAAUAUUAUAUUUUCACGAUAAAAUGAUAUAUGUCAUAAAAUUUUUGUUAUAAAAAUAUAUGAUAAUUAUUUACCGACCAUCUAUUUUUUUAAAAUAUAUAAAUUUUAUUUUAAUUUUUUUGCAACAUUCUAUUUAAAGUUAACAUUCUCUUCACUCGUCUAUUUCCGGCGUAACGCAUUUAAUGGAUUUAACAUAAAAUUAAUCAAGUAUUUUUUUACCCAUAAUUGUAAAAUUUUUAUUUUUCUUAAAUAAAUGCCAAAAGUAUAUGAGUAUCAUUUAAAAUUUCCCAAGCUCAAUACGGCAUCGUAAAAACCCUACAAAACCUUCGUUCCCAUCCUUGAGCCUUGAGCCUUGAGCCUUGAGCCUUGAACAAUAUGAGCAAAAUGAUUUUUUUAGAAAAAAACCAGGGAUAUCAAUUAAUAAAAAUUUAAAUCUAACCAAAAAAUCCUAAUAUAUAAAAGUAAAAUCUUAACAUAUGUCCAAAAGCAAAAGAAUAGAAUUUUAUUUUCAAUUUAGAAUUUUAUUUCAUUUUCAAUUUUCAAUUUUAUUUUUCCUAAGUGAUUUUGAAUAAUUACUACUACUAUAAAUAGUUAUCUCUUAUAGCCUUUGAAGACAUAUUCAACUUCAAUAAUAUUUUAAUUUUCAAAUCUCUUUGUGAGUAUUUAAAUAAUUAAUUUUUAAUAUUCUACGAAAUCAUCGAAUCUUAAUUUCUAAAUCCGCAAUAUUCUUUUAAAUCAAUAAAAAAUUUAAUUAUUUAUUUAUUUUGAUAUUCUCUCAAAUUAAAAUAUUUUAAAUAUUAAAAUUCCGCUCCAUCAAUCACUCGCAAACGCAAUUAGCCCAGCCCAACAUGCGAAAGUGAAAUCGCCUGCAGUUCCAGUCAAUUGAACGUCUUGUCGUUUAUGCUAAAUGUCGUUUCUAAGUUUCAUUUACCAACGACAAAACGAUUUAUCUUUUACCUGAAAGUCCAAGCAUAGCGAGCGAGUUGUUUUGCAAAUGGGACAGUUGUCCCAACGAUAUUCACAAACAAUCCCAUUUCAUGGCCCGAAGAACAAACCCAACGACAUAUGAAAGCAUCAACCUUUACUGGAGGAGGUCGAUUAAAAUGAUAGAAGGCGAAGAAGUAAAUGAAACAGGAAUAAGAAGCGGAAGCAAGUAAGCAGAGCAAGUGGCCAUGAAAACAGCUACAUUACCAUUUGGUGGCUUUGGGCAUUCUUAUUUACCUUCAUCUUCAUUCAAGAUUGUUAUUGUAAUGGCAAAGAGCAACAAAAAGUCCCGAUCCUCUUCUUCUUCUUCUAAGGUUCUUUCCACCUUUUUUUGUUUGAAUUCACAAUCUUCUCUUGUUUGAUGGCAAAGUUGGUCCUUUUUAGUUUUUUUUUUUUGUUUUUAAUGAAUUGAAUUUAGCGUUUCAUAGACUCUCCUUUAAAGGGUUUGUGUGAUGUAGUUCAAUAAGUUUUGGAUGCGCCGAAGUAGUUAAUUUUAGUUAUAUGUAGUGUUUGUUUAGCUCAUAUGGGUGUCUUAAUUUUUCAUUUUUCUUAUAUAUCAACAGUCUUCAGUUGUUGGCUGCUCUUGAUGACCGUUUUAGUUUAUUUAAUAUAUUCUUAUUGAAUAAUCAUAAUAAUAUGUGAUGCAAAAUUGUUUAUCAGGUGGUUUACAAUUGUAAGCAAAUAUAUAGAAGCUGAAACUGAUCAUUAUACUUUUAGUGAUUGCUGAUGCCUGUAGAGGUAGAUUUCUGACCCAGAAAGUGCCUUACACGAUCAUAUCAGCCUUGUUAAUGGAAACACAAAAUGAGUAAGAGUAAGUAUGUGUUCUUGAGGAGCCAAAAAUAGGGUGUUAUUUUCUGCUUCUCUUAAUCAAGUUCUGUAGCAAUAGAAAAUGGGGAUUACAAUGCUUGGUUUAAAGGCCUUUUUUUAAUUUUGUGGCAAAUUAAUGUAUGUUCCAGAGUAGGAGCAGUGUUUGAUCCAUAAAUUUUUUUCUUUAUAUUUGUAAAUACUUUUAUCUCUCUCCUUUUUUUUUUUUUCCCGGCCUCUAACUGGCUUUUCUACCAAUAGGAUUCAGAGCCAACACCUCCAAGAAUUACAUCUAAUGUGAAGCAAAAUUUGCAGUUCUUGAGAUUAUGGAAGGUUGGUUUUAUAUUGACAUAUCUAAAACCAGCAUCAGUUUUUAUCUUUCAUCUUAUUUAAGUUUGCCUUUGUAGGAGUUUCAAAGGAGCAAGUCUAGCACGCCUAGGCCUUCAACUAGUUACCGCAGGAAAAAGGUUGAGAAGGAGGAAUUGCCAGAAGAUACAGAGCUUUACCGUGAUCCUUUACUAGUAAUAUACUCUUCACGUUUCUUUUAUUUGCCUUGUUUGUUGUUUCAUUGAUCCCCUCUUUACCUUCUAUUAAAGGAAUUUUCUCUUUUAUUUACAGUACAAACCAGGGUAUAGAUAAUGCUGUUCCUGUCUUACUUGUUGAUGGGUAUAAUGUUUGUGGCUAUUGGCCAAAGCUGAAGAAACAUUUUAUUAAAGGAAGGUUGGAUGUUGCUCGUCUGAAGCUAAUUGAGGAACUUGUGGAAUUUAGUAUGAUAAGAGGUUUGUAUUUUUUAUCUCUGUUUUAUUCUAUAAGAGGCUUCUCUGUAUGUUGCAAUCGAUUAAAUGUGAUGCUGCCUUGCUUGGCUAUAACAAAAUGAUGUAUAAAAUACCAUAAUUGAAAGAUAUAUUUCUGCUGCUUAACUUGUGAUUGGAUAUACUUUAAUAGUAGGUGUCUUCAAGAAGUGAUAUCUUGAAAAUUAAACACUGCUCCCAAUGCUUUUUUUUUUCUUUGGAAGGAACUGUUCCCUAUGCUUAGUUUCGUACUUUAUUAAGUUUUGCUAUCAAAGUUUCUUCUUUGGAGGUUAUCCCCAAAGAUCUAUGAUUGCUUUAAUGUUUCAUAGUAGUCUCAAGUUAAAAGUUAACUGUGUCAAAUUGUCAAAUAAAGUGUUAGUAGAUGAACAAAAUGAAGCAAAGACAGAUGGAUUUUCUAGAUUUGACCAUAUGGUCUUUCUCCUCUUAUUUUUCCAACCAGAAAUUUAACAGCCCUGAAGCCAUAAGUUAAAGAAAUGUAAAGAUUUAAAAAAAAAAAAAAAAAAGAAAGAAAGAAAAAGGUGCAACUAUUAGUUUUCAUACAUGCAUUUUGCAACCUUUAAAUUAUAGGAUAUGUUGUUGACUCAAAUUCGACUCAAAUUGUAAUCCUAAUACUUGGUUGUUAAUUGUUUUCUUUCUGUUGAUGUUGCAACCACAUUUUAUGAUUUCUGAAAUAUUUACAGAGGUGAAAGUGGUCGCUGUGUUUGACGCCUUGAUGUCUGGACUGCCAACACACAAGGAAGAAUUUAUUGGGUAUUAUUUGUGAACCUAAACCAUGCUUCCAUCAUUUUCUAACUCUUUUAUUCUUGAGAUUCAAUUCUGUCUGCAGAAUUGUUUGUUUUCUUUGAUAUCCUACUGCAAAAUGUCCUUUGUAUCCACUUAGUAUACAUAUGUUACAUAUACACAUUUCUUGUUGGUGGUAAUUUUUUACAUAUACACAUAUCUUGUUGGUAGUAUUUUUGGACACAUAAAAGGUUCCAUGAUCCUGCUGUGCAUAUUGGGUGGUCAGAUUGAAUGGGGCUCAGUCGUGAUUUGCUACUUUUACUUUUCCACAAUUUAUUUAAAUCUGACUUUAUCUUUGUACCCUUGACUGGAAAUUCAUGAAUUGGGCUUCUGAUGGUAAAAUGAACUUGUUAGAUAUCUAGUAUUAUUUUCCACCUAUGUCUAUCUAUUCAUGUAUAAUAAUUACUCAACAGAUUAAAUUUUUUAUGAUUUUGGUAUAAACUAGGAAAAAAAAAUUACCUUAUAAUUGUUAGAAGCUUCUCUUGGCAAGAAAAGCAGAGGAGGCCAUAUAUCUAUCUAUGUUAUUAACCCCAAGAAGUGGGUUAAUUAGUACUGGUUAACUAUUGAAUUUUUUUAUGUUCUACUUAACUGAAAUUUCCUUGCAAUUUAUACUUUGUUUGAAACCUGUGAUAUUAAGCGUUCAUAAUGGUGCAGCGUUGACGUAGUGUUCUCUGGAGAAACGUGUGCUGAUGCAUGGAUUGAAAAAGAGGUAAAAAAUAAUAAUAAAUAAAAUAAAAUCUUAGACUUCCUGCUUCACAACGUAAAUGAUAGAAUUUUUCAGUUUAAAACCUGCGGAGUAUAUAACCAUUACGUCCAUUAAUCCUGUCGAAAAUUGAUUUUAUGGGAUAAAUGAUUUUGAUCUCCGCUUUUAUGCAUAAUGGUAAUGAUUCCUUUUGUAUUUUGUCCUUUACCAAAAAGCCUUUUCCCCAGAUCAAUUUUUUUUUUCUUUGAUUGGAUCUCACUUGACUCUCUGUUGCUCACAUUGCAUAUUGAGGUAGAAAUUUUGUAUAAAUUUAUUGGCGUUCAAUCAGAAUAUUCGUUUAAGUUCUUCCUAUUGAUUCCUGGAACACUUUUAAAUUACACUUAAAAGAAAAAGGUCAGCAAUCACCCAAAAGAGUAACCUUUUGUGCUUAUAUUUUACCAAAGUUAUUUUUUUCUUAUGUCGUUAGAAAAAGUCAAAUCGUAACGUGGUACUGUGGGAAUUAUUAUGCUAUGCCUUCUGUUUGUAUAUCAUUAGGCUGGUAUGAAGUGUGAUUUUACUGCUGUUUUCUGAUUAGCAGGCUGGAAUCAUGUUUGUGUGACAGAUAGUAGCUUUGAGAGAGGAUGGAUGUCCCAAAGUUUGGGUUGUGACUUCUGAUCAUUUGCAGCAGCAUGCAGCAUAUGGAGCGGUAUGCUCUUUACUCUUGAGUUUUUUACAGUAGUGCUUGAUAAUAAAUUUAUACAAAUUUCUGACAAGUCUUUUUAUCUUGAAUCCGAUAAGGUGUCAAGAUGUUAGUGGGGUUAUUAGGGCAUGCGCAGGGCGGUUCGAUAGCGACUGUUCAUGUCAUUCAAUUUUAUUUUAUGUAAUAAGUGCCAUUAUGGCAUUACCAAACUUCACCGAUUGAAUAUAUUAUGUAUACUUUUUAUGAAAGUGAAUACAUUCUUCAAACUUGAAAUUGGAAUAUUUUAUGUAGUUAUUUAACAUCACAUUUAUUCAAAACAUACAUAGGCAUUUAUAGUUCAAGGUUAGAAGCAAAUUAAUGGGGGAAGAUUUAAAUUAAUGAAGAUAAUGGUGAGAAAUACAUGUAUAAUCUAAUUAGCAGUUUGCUUGAGAAAUUAUGGGAGAAGAGAAAUAUACCAAAUCUCAGUUCAAUUUAGGUACAAAGAAAAAAAAAAACUUUAUAUGCAUACUUUAUUAAGAGUUGAAUUCAAAUAAUCGAAGUUGCAAGAAAAACUCUACUUGAUGUUAUGAAUUUUGUAUUUUAUUCAUUAAUAUUUUUUUGUCAAUUUAUUUUUCAUAGGGCCUUAAAGGUGUGUGUGUGUAGUGAAAUUAUUAAUUUAGUACACUGGCCUAUUUCAAGAUCGGAUGAUUUUAUUAUUUAAUCAAGAUUUUACAGUGUAAAAGCACUUUUAUUGUGUUUUGAACAUUUAUAUAAUAUAUUUGGUAUUAUACAUUAAGAUUUAUCUUUAUUAUUAUUAUUAUUGAACUCUUACCUAUUUGCUUAAUUUAUUUUUUAUUUUUUAGUUUAUAGAGAGUUUCUCUAACAAUUAUAUGUAUAAGCAGUAGCUAAGCUAUUUUAAUUAGUAGCGUCAGCACGACAAACUAAAAGUCAUUUAUCAAUCAAUAUCCCUAAAAAAUCCCAACUGCCGGCAAAUUAAUACAUAUCAUCACCCUAUCGUAUUGACAACAAAAUGCGAGCAACGUCCAGGUUAUUACAACAAUAAUUUUAGCACACAUUCAAUCAAGUGAAUGAUAGACAUAUUUUGUGUAGAUUCAAUUAAAUUCAUUUAACUUGACCCCAACAAGAAAAAGAGAAAAUUUGUUUGCUUCUAAUGAAAAUUAAUUAAAUGAUAGCAAUAGUUUGUAUGAUUGUAUGUCAGUGUAGUUUUUUCUUGAAGAAAAAGAAAAAAAAAAUCUAAUAAAAAUGACAAUUGGGUGGGCGGCUCAAUAAAAACAUGGUCGGUGAUAUUCGGUAAGCCCUGCGGGUAGCCACCAUCCAGCCAGUUUGCCUUUUCCCGUAUAUUUAUUACUUGAUUUUACACAGAGUUUUCACUAUCCGUUUAGCUCAAAUUCUUAUGUGAGAGUGAGACCACAAAAGCUUUGCAAGGCAAAAAGAGACAAGAGGAAGGGUUACACGAGAACCGCCAAAUUUGCCAAGGCCACGGGAUAUUUGUGGUCAAUGUUCCACAAAAUACAACUUAACUCAACUCAACUAACCCACAAAAUAGCCGUGGGGCCAUUCAUUUGCUGAUUUUCCAGCUGCUUAAUUUGGCUCCAUAUGAUCUCGUGCCAUCUUAUAUUCUUUUUAUGCGGGCAUUUGCCAUCUUAAAUUCUUUAGAUUACCCAUAAUUUCUACAUACCUGGGACUAAAAUUACUUGAAAUUCAUACAUGUCUUAGAUAUUUUUAGCAGAAGACGAGGUGAUGAGUGGCAGUAGUUUCCCUCUGCCUCAUGCGAUUGUAUGGCUUAGUGCGAUUUAUACCUACCUUUGCCUUCAUUUUCAUGACCCUUUUGUUUUUUAACUAACUGAAAUUAGACUAAUUCAUGAUCUGACUUUGCUCCGAUGAAAUUGUAAGUGUAAUUAAAUUUUAUUCAUAUAUUAAUAUUAAUAGAUUGCCAUGCGACACAAGAUUUUUACAAAUUUAGGAGAGCUCAAAUUAUGAAGAAAUUUCUAAUUGAAUAUGUGGAAGCAUUUGAAUAUAUGACUUUGAUUUCUUUUUUAAGAAAAAAUUAUUUAUAUAUGUAUACAAUCAGUAUGUCAUUUGAAAACUUUGGUUAAUCUACUAUGUUAAGCAAUUUUUUUUUUUAAUAAAAAAAUGACUACGCUACUGAUUUAAUAUAAUUCUCUACCUUUUUUAUUUGAUUUAAUAUAAUACUCUACCUUUUUUGUUUAAUAUAUAUGAGUCUCUAUCUCUUUUAUUUUAUUAUGAUAAGCAUGAGUAAAAUUUUAUUCAUUUGGUAAUGUUCAGGUCAAAAAGGCUAAUCAUCAGAAUCCAACUACUAAUUUAGAUGGAUCCUCUCUAGUGAUUCCAGCAAGUUCGAGCACAUAGUACGGAGCUAUGUAAAUCGAGAUUAAGACCUGUUAAUACAUAAUAAGUAUAACCUAAGUAGGUAAUUAUUCAAAUUUAUCAUAAUUUAUUUUGAUUUUGAAUUGUACAGAAAAUUAAAUAUGAAGAAGACUUUAUAUACAGCAAUAUGAUUAAUCGUGUUUUGAUUAAUUAUCAAAAUAGUAUAGGAAAAUGAUCAAAACCCCCUCAUGCUUGGCGUAAUUAACUAUUCUUCCUUCAUAAGUUGAACAAUAAAAUCCCUGGCGUUAUAGGUUUAAACACCCCUAGACACUUUUGGAGGACUAUCUGUUCUUUUUGUAACAGACAAUUGAUAAAUGGAUUUUUUUUUUUUUUUUGAGAAGGAUAAAUGGAUUUUAAACACUAAUUAAUUUCGAGGGAUAUUAUCAAAUAUAAUACCUAGCAUGACAUAUCAAUUUAUCAACGAGAUUUUCUGAUAAUUAUGUUUUACCAUCUAAUGUUUUGGUUGUUACUAUUUAUCGCCAAAAUCUUAACACUAUUAAAAAAUUGUUGAGGUCACAAGAGUAUUUGAUAAAUUUCAAACUGAAGCUAUUUUUCUAUUUUCUUAGUUCUUUUAGAGAUUUUUAUCUUUUUCCUCUAGACAUCUGAUUUAGAGCCUUUUAUUUUUGUUUUAUUUAUUUCAAUUAUUAGAAUUUUAUUAUGAUUUUAUAUUAUUACAUUUAAUUGGUUUAAUUUUAAUUGAACUUAAUAUGGUGAAAUUUAUUUGUACAAGUAAAAAUAAUAUCACAAAUUAGUUUCUCUAUGGAUGCAUGAAAAUUUUCAGUUACUGUCACUAUCAGAAAACCUAAAUUCAAUCGCAGGAAUAUCUUAAAAUAAUAAAAUUUUAAUAACUAAAUUAAAGAAAAAGAAUAAAAACGACUCGUACAUCUAAUUUCUUAAAAUCCAAAAAAAAAAACUACAAAAAUAAGAAAAUGACUUCAUCUUGAAAUUUUUUAAAUACCUUUGUGAUCUCAAUAAUUUUUUAGUAGUGUUAAGAUUGUGAUAGUAAAAUGAUAGCAGACUGAAUAUUAGGUGGUAAAAUAUAGUUAUUAGAAAAUCUUGUGGUGAAUUGAUAUGUCGGGGGAACUUCUAGUGAUGAUUUGAUAAAAUCCCUUAUUUCACUGUAAAAUUAAAAACAAGAAAAAGGAAAGUCAACAGUUAAUAAAACAUUCAUUGACAGUAGAGGGUUUUGUUGUUUCCAAAACUAAGGGUGUACUAUAAAUAGUUAAUUUCUCCUGGCAGUAGGGACAUUUUACUUACCUUAAAAAUUUUGUAUUCCUUCAUGGCACAUUUAGUCCAUUUUUGUAAUGGAAUGAAUUUUUCAUUAAGUUGUAAAUCUUUAGCUGUGAAGUAAAGGUGAGUAUUUACUAGGCGAUUGAUACAACAGUUGUGUUUUCAUAAUCAAACGGCGGCACAAUAGUUGUUGCUAUCUCACAACACAAAUGUAAAUUAAGAAAGCGCUAAACAACUAGAGAACUUGGAAAGAGACAAUAUAAUUAUGUGUGUGUAUACAUAUAUACACAUACAUAUAUAUACACAUACAUAUCAUUAAUGUUGUUUAACCACACGACUUAACAUCGUACCUCGCAUCUAAGCAUGAUUAUAUGUUUUAAAAAAACUAUUAAAACAUAUGAUUUUAUAACAUUAUAUCAUUAUACUAUUAAACCAUGUGGCUUAAUAGUUUUCAUGGACGUUACAAUAUUAAAUCAUAUAAAUAGUUUUCAUGGACGUUACAAUAUUAAAUCAUAUAACGUAAUAGCUUUUCCACACUAACAAAUUUAAUAUUUUGGAUUGGGACACACACACACAUGUAUAGGUGUUGUGCCCUUGUUUAUUUAUUUAUUUAUUUUGAAAUGUAAACAUGUUGUUUAAUAGUUUUCUUUACUGACUCUAUUAAACUGUAUGAUUUAAUAGUAUGUUCACAUGAAAAAAAAAUGAAGGCACCCACAUUAGAGAAGAACUAUAAUAUUAAACAAAAUAAUCUAACAAAUAUUGUUAAUUAUUAUUUUUUUUUUAUGAACAACUACACAAACGGAGUGAUUCUAAGAAAGCUUGUGAAGCGAGUUGAGGCUGCAGACUAUGAGACAUAUUAAUUUUCUACAAUUUACCUUUUGUUCAUUAUAUUAAAGUCCCAUUAUUUUUAUUACUAUUCUUUAUGUUUGCUAUUCCGCACGAAUACGUAUCCCUAACGUAUUAGUUGUCGCUUCUUAGAAUUAAAACUAGACACAUGUAAAUAUGUGAACUCUAAUUAAAUCUUGAUACUUGUAAUAUAUAUGAGCCAUAUCUAAAAAGGAAAUUUCAAUUUCUACUUCCAUUUUUUAAAUGCCAGGUCGAUGUACAUUAUCUAUGCAUGUACUGAAUAGGAAGCAACACAUGAAGAUGCAUUCUUUUUGCUAGACACUGAUUUUUAAUUUUCAUUUUUUUUCCAAUUAUUCAAAGGUGCCUGGUCCACGCAUGUCCGGUUCGUCAAGCAGACAAGCACAAGCAUGUGAAACUUGCUGAAUUAUUGAUGGUGGUGGGGGGCUGCCUGCCUCUGGCUUAUGAGUUUGAAGAUUUGUAAAGGGAAGGUUCGUAGUAGAUACUUCCCAUUCUCUACUUAUUGAUGGUGGUGGGGGCUGCGAUUUUAUAUUCAUUGAAUCUGGUAACAAGUGGUGGUGACCGGUGAUUGGUGAAUUGCCAAAAUUAUUAAAAGAAAAAUUGCACACUAUCCUUUUUUUCAUUUUUUAUUCUUUAUUUUACUAUUUCUAAUCGGUCCCACAAAAAAAUAUUUUAUUAUUUGUUAUCGAUCCCACAAAAGAAAAAUUCGAAAAGUGAACGCGUUUUCUGUCGUCCCUUCGUCGGCUUUCGUUCGUUUUCAGUUUUCACCAUCCUUUUUUUCAUUUUUUAUUCUUUAUUUUACUAUUUAUAAUCGGUCCCACAAAAGAAUAUUUCAUUUUUUCCAAUUAUUAAUCGACUUGUUAUUUCAUUAAGUAUAUAUAUAUAUAAUAAAUGAGUCGAAUUUAUGUUCAGCUAAAAUUUUAUUGUAUUUGACACGACUGUAAUGUAACAUGAUGGUAGGAAUUACCAUUGUGAUUUUAAAAAACUAUAGUGUUUAUAAUUUGAGUCUUCGUCUUAGCAUUGAAAUUAAUUCAAUAAAUGAAGUAAUUAUAUGGCAAAAGGAGAGAGAGAGAAACGUUUUAGUUUAACUUUGUUUAUAAGUUUGAAGAUUUGUAAAGCGAAGGUUCGUAGUAGAUGCAUUCCAUUUUCCUCUUUAUUCAGUAUUUACCCAGACACUGGAUUAAUGUUGUUGAUUUGAUAUACGAUUUUAUAUUUAUUGAUUCUAAUAACUAGAGGUGGUCACUGAUGAUUGGUGACUCACUAAAUUAUUAAUGGGUGGUGGGCUCUCCUUUUAUUUUCACUUUCCUGGAAUAAGCAACAAGUGGAAGACUUGUUACAUGCACUUUGCUCGACACUCUCCAUGCUUACUGUUCAAUUUUCUGAUUCUGCUUUCCAUAACCCAUAAUUCUGCUUCGUUCUUCCUUUGCCCAAAAAAAGAAAAAAAUGUCAAUCAUCGGAGAGGCAAUCCUUACGGCGUCCGUUGAUUUGCUGGUCAAUAAGUUAGCUUCAGAGGGGGUUCUGUUUUUUGCACGCCAAGAUCAAAUCGAGGCCGAUCUGAUGAGGUGGGCGAAUAUGUUGGAGAUGAUUAAGGCGGUGCUUGAUGAUGCUGCGGAGAAGAAGACGACUAAUCAGUUUGUGAAGAAGUGGCUUGGCAAGCUUCAGAACUUGGCUUAUGAUGUUGAAGACUUGUUGGAUGAGUUUCAAACUGAGGCUUUCCGGAGGAGGUUGCUGCUUGGGAAUGGAGAACCAGCUGCUGCUCAUGAUCAACCCAGUAGCAGUCGUACAAGACCAAGCAAGUUUAGGAAGCUCAUUCCUGCUUGCUGCACCACUUUUACUCCACAAUCGAUUCAGUUCGAUUAUGGCUUGAAGUCCAAAAUCAAAGAGAUCAGCAGCAGAUUUCAAGAAAUUGAAGAAGGAAUACGCUCGCUGAAUUUGAUAAAAAGUUUAGCUGGGGGGUCCAAAAAAGCCAGGCAAAGGCAAGAGACAACCUCUUUGGUGGAGGAAGCCAAAGUAUAUGGCAGGGAAACAGAAAAGAAGGAAAUUGUUGAAUUGUUGUUGAAGGAUGAUUCAAGAAAGGAUGGUGGAUUCUCUGUUAUUCCUAUUCUAGGUAUGGGCGGGCUGGGUAAAACCACUCUUGCUCAGGUUGUCUACAAUGAUAAGCAGGUGGAGGAUCAUUUUAAUCUCAAGGCAUGGGCUUGCGUCUCCGAUGAUUUUGAUGUUAGCAGGCUUACAAAAUCAAUCCUACAUUCAAUUGCUAGUGACCAGAAUGUGGAUAAUCACGACUUGAAUAAGCUUCAAGAGGAGCUAAAGAAACAACUAUUUGGAAAGAAAUUUUUGCUUGUUUUAGAUGACGUUUGGAAUGAGAAUUACAAUGACUGGGUUCACCUCAGCCUUCCAUUUCAAGCUGGCGCGAAGGGAAGUAAGAUUGUUGUCACUACUCGCAAUCAACAGGUUGCAAAAAUCAUGAGGCCGGAUCAAGCUUAUGAAUUGAAAAACUUGUCAACUGAGGAUUGUCUGUCUGUGUUUGCUCAGCACUCUUUGGGGACAAGAGAUUUCAGUUCACACAAGUCAUUGGAGGACAUUGGCAAGAAGAUAGUGAUCAAAUGCAAUGGCUUGCCCUUGGCAGCAAAAACACUGGGAGGACUUUUAUGUGGAGAACAUGACAGAGGUGUGUGGGAAGAUGUGCUCAGUAGCAAGAUAUGGGAAUUACCAGAAGAUAGAUGUCCCAUUAUACCAGCUCUUGCAGUGAGCUAUUAUUAUCUUCCUCCAAUUUUGAAACAAUGCUUUGCAUACUGCUCAUUGUUUCCUAAGGAUUAUGAAUUUGAAGAUGAGGAGAUAAUUUUAUUAUGGAGUGCUUCGGGUUUCUUGGUUCAUAAAGAGAGUGGGAAUCCUGACGAAGAUCUAGGUCGAAAGUUCUUUCAAGAGCUACGUUCAAGAUCUUUCUUCCAGCAAUCAAGCAACAAUACAUCACGAUUUGUGAUGCACGACCUUAUCAGCGACCUUGCUCAAUGGGCUGCGGGGGAGAUAUACUUCACAAUGGAGUAUACCUCGGAGGUUAACAAGCAACAGAGUUUUUCCAAAAAUCUUCGUCAUCUAUCGUACAUUCGUGGAGAAUGUGAUGGCGUUAAACGGUUUGAGGGCUUGUACGAUAUCCAACAUUUGCGAACAUUUUUACCAGUAAAGCUGUCAAAUAGUUGGGAUGGAGACUUGGCUCGUAGCAUUCUUCCUAAGUUGUUCAAACUCCAACGCUUGAGGGUCUUCUCCUUGUUUGGAUACCGCAUCUCUGAGCUACCAAAUUCAGUAGGUGAUUUGAGGUAUUUAAAGUACCUUAACCUAUCUGGAACUGAAAUUAGAACUCUGCCUGAAUCAGUGAACAAGCUUUACAAUUUGCACACACUUUUGUUGGAGGACUGUCGGAAACUGAAGAAGUUGUGUGCAGAAAUGGGAAACCUCAUCAAAUUGCAUCAUCUUAAAAAUUCAAAUACAGAUUCCUUGGAGGAAAUGCCACUAGGAAUUGGUAAUUUGACUUGUCUUCAAACGUUGUGUAAUUUUGUUGUGGCAAAAGACAGUGGUUCCGAGUUAAGAGAGCUGAAGUCGUUGACUCAUCUUAAGAGGACACUUAAAAUUUCAAAAUUGGAGAAUGUAAAAUGCGUUGGUGAUGCCAUGGAGGCUCAAAUGGAUGGAAAGAAGAAGCUGAAAGAAUUAUCGCUUAAUUGGACUUGCAGUACCGAUGGUUCAUCUUCAAGGGAGGCAGAAACUGAAAUGGGCGUGCUUGACAUGCUAAAACCUCAUACAAAUCUGGAGCAAUUUUGUAUCAAAGGCUAUGGAGGUAUGAAAUUUCCAACUUGGUUGGGAGAUUCCUCAUUCUCAAAUUUGGUGACCCUAAAAUUUGAAAAUUGUGACAUGUGUACUGCCCUGCCGUCAGUCGGCCAACUACCCUCUCUAAAGCAUCUUGCAGUAUGUGGAAUGAGCAGAGUAAAGAGGCUGGGUUCAGAGUUCUAUGGGAAUGAUCCUCCAAUUCCUUUUCUAUGCUUGGAGACUCUUCGUUUUGAAGACAUGCAAGAAUGGGAAGACUGGAUUCCCCAUGGAUCCAGUCAAGGAGUUGUUGAAGGGUUUCCUAAAUUGAGAGAGCUUCACAUUUUAAGAUGUUCUAAAUUGAAAGGAACAUUUCCAGAGCACCUUCCUGCAUUGGAGAUGCUUGUUAUUGAAGGAUGUGAAGAAUUGUCAGUUUCAGUUUCGAGUCUUCCAGCUCUUUGCAAAUUACAGAUUGGUGGAUGUAAAAAGGUUGUGUGGGAAAGUGCAACUGGUCAUCUCGGAUCUCAGAAUUCAGUGGUUUGUAGAGAUGCAUCAAAUCAAGUGUUUCUCGCAGGGCCAUUAAAGCCGCAACUGCCAAAAUUGGAAGAAUUGGAGAUAAAUGAUAUGAAAGAGCAUACAUAUAUCUGGAAGAGUCAUAACGGAUUACUACAAGACAUUUGCUCUCUCAGAAGACUGACGAUUAGACGGUGUCCCAAACUUCAAUCCUUGGUGGCGGAGGAAGAGAAAGACCAACAACAGCAGCUCUGCGAGUUGUCAUGCAGACUUGAAUAUCUAGGAUUGAGCUAUUGCGAAGGCCUUGUGAAGCUGCCACAAUCAUCUCUCAGCCUCAGUUCCUUGAGAGAGAUAUACAUCUGCUACUGCAGUUCCCUUGUUUCCUUUCCUGAGGUUGCUCUGCCUUCCAAGUUGAAGAAAAUUAGGAUUAGCAGUUGUGAUGCACUGAAAUCGUUACCAGAGGCAUGGAUGUGCGACACCAAUUCAUCUCUCGAGAUCUUGGAGAUUUGGAUUUGCUGUUCGUUGACAUAUAUUGCUGGAGUCCAGCUACCACGGAGCCUUAAGAGGUUGCAUAUCUUGUUGUGCAAUAAUAUAAGGACUUUGACAGUGGAAGAGGGCAUCCAGUGUAGCAAUAGCAGCAGCAGCAGCAGAAGGUACAUCUCAUCCCUUCUCGAGCACUUAGAAAUUGGCAAUUGUCGAUCUCUGACAUGUAUAUUUUCAAAAAACGAGUUACCUGCCACGCUUGAGUCCCUUGAAGUUGGCAAUCUACCUCCGUCUCUUAAGGUACUUGAUGUUUAUGGAUGUCCAAAGCUGGAGUCAAUAGCAGAAAGGUUGGACAACAACACAUCUCUUGAAACAAUCAGUAUUUUGUGCUGUGAAAAUCUGAAAAUUUUACCGAGUGGUUUACAUAAUCUCCGCCAGCUUCAAGAGAUUAGCAUAGAGAAAUGUGGAAAUCUGGAGUCCUUUCCCGAAGGGGGAUUGCCUUGUGCGAAACUGAGUAAGCUCAGGAUCUAUGGGUGUGAGAGACUAGAGGCCUUACCCAAGGGAUUGCACAAUCUGAAGUCUCUUCAAGAAUUAAGAAUAGGAAGAGGAGUUGAGCUUCCAAGCCUUGAAGAAGAUGGCCUUCCCACCAACCUUCAUUCACUGGAGAUUGAUGGUAAUAUGGAGAUUUGGAAGUCAACGAUUGAGUGGGGUCGGGGAUUCCACAGAUUCUCCUCUCUGCGAUGUCUUGCAAUCAGCGGAUGCGAUGACGACAUGGUGUCAUUUCCACUAGAGGACAAAAGAUUAGGGACCGCGCUUCCUCUUCCUGCCUGUCUAGCAUCCCUGAUGAUUGGUAAUUUUCCAAAUCUGGAACGCCUAUCUUCUUCAAUUGUUGAUCUUCAAAACCUCACUGAAUUGUAUCUCGGGGAUUGUCCCAAGCUCAAAUACUUUCCGGAGAAGGGCCUGCCUUCCUCACUUUUGCGAUUAUACAUCGACGAAUGUCCGUUGAUAGCAGAGAAGUGCAGAAAGGAUGGAGGACAAUAUUGGGACUUGUUAACCCAUAUACCCAGUGUUCUAAUAGAUUUAGCAAAGGAGGAGGACUCUAUUAAUUAAUUAAUGAAUUAAUUUCUCGUUAUCAGCGGUUGAAACUUCAGUUUCUUAUAUUUGUCUUUUCCGCGGUACGGUUACAUAUAUUUGUGUAUGUAAUUUUAAAAUUUAAAUCUCAGUUGAAAACUGUUUUAAAUUAAUAAAAAGAAAAAUGUUAAGUAGAGUAAGGGGCUCGCAUUAUUUCAGCAGCGGGGGACAUAUGUGUAUUAAUUAAUUAAUUAAUUAAUGGAUUAAUUUCUUAUGCGUAUCUCAUUCUAAGCUGUUGAAAUAAACUUCAGUUUCUUUUAUUUGGCUGUACAGUUACGCAUGUGUAAUAUUUCUCUUCAUCAGAUUUCGACAAAAAUUGUUAAUGUUUUUAUUAGUAAUUAAUUAGUAUGUUAGUGUUCGUCUUUUGUUCCAGAACAAUCUGCCUCUUCAGCAAUAAUGUUACAAUGUUCUUUUGAUGUUGUUGUUUAGCAAAGUGGUUUUUUACGUGCUAAUUAAACACAUGAGGGCUAGGCCGUGUUACAAAAUUAUUUGUAAUCUUUAAUUUAAUUGUUUAUGUGCCAUCGCUAUUAAUAUUAAUCGAUAAAUAUAAUUUUAUCAGUUAC
Molecule: long non-coding RNA, 46332 nt
Filed under: Citrus maxima (pomelo)
Lineage: Eukaryota; Viridiplantae; Streptophyta; Magnoliopsida; Sapindales; Rutaceae
Description: long non-coding RNA (CMAX_LNC001150)
Source: RNAcentral